This 69082-nucleotide long non-coding RNA is filed under the name Hordeum vulgare. Its description in RNAcentral is "long non-coding RNA (HVUL_LNC008250)". Lineage: Eukaryota; Viridiplantae; Streptophyta; Magnoliopsida; Poales; Poaceae. The record is from RNAcentral.
UCAUUGAGAGAGAGACAUGAACGCAUAUCUUAAUUACCAGAUCCAUAUAUAUAUAUAUAUAUAUAUAAUAUAUAUAUAUAUAUAAACCAGCACUGGUGCUUAUUAUUAGUCGCCCUUGUUUUACACUUGGUACGGUCUCCUAUAUAUAGUUCUACUAUAUAGCGGCACAUGAAUCACAGAAACGGAGCGUAGGGAGGAGCAAAAAAAAAGAAGAUGAGGAAUUACAGUGGUGAAUAAAUAAAUAAAAUUGAAAAUUACUGCAGUGCACAUGAAGCCAGCCAGUGUAGUCACUGCCUUCGGAGUGUGAAAGACAGCGCAUUUACCGGCAGAUCUACCUCGCAUUCUCACCGUCGUCCUCCUCACCACAGCAGGAGCCCAGAGAGCGCGAGCAGCAGCAGUGUAGUCGCCGCGGAGGACGACGAGACGGCCGGCGACGAGCUCUUGGCCGUGUGCUGGGGCGGCGGGCUAUAGUAGUAGAAGGGGAAGUAGGGCAGGAACGGGUUGGGCGGCGGCGGCGUCGGGUACGCACCGCCUCCGCCUCCACCUUGUCCUCCUUGGCCGCCGCCGCCGCCUCCUCCGUACCCGCCGGUGGGCGGAGGGUAGAAGUAGCCACCGCCGCCGCCGGAGGGAGCGGGGUAGGAAGUGGGAGGCGGUAAUACAGGCGCCGCGGGGGUGACCGGAGCCGGAGGAGGUGGCGAGGGGUAGCUGUACCCCGGGGUGGGGUUGCAGGGGUUGCCGCAGGAGGCGCAGAGCGUGCAGGUCGUGCCGUCCUUGCGCACGAUGGUCACGCCGGCGUCCUCCUCGGCGCCGGCCACCCGCGCCGCAUCGGGGAGCAGCGCGGAGAGGAGGAGCAGGAGCAGGAGGAGGACCGGUGGGUGGGGAGCCAUGGCCAUGUGGGGGUGGGGGUGGGAGUGGGAGAGGUUGGUGAUGGGGAUGGGAGUGGGAGCUCGAGUGGAAGUGAGUGAGGGAGGGAGUGGAGCUGACUGUCUCGGGGAGCGGUACUUAAUCUUCCAGUGGGCAGCAGCGGAAAGGGAAGCGGGGCGGCGUUUGUCGGCCUUCCAGAUCGACGGCGGAUCCGUGGACGGCAGGGCGCCACGCCCGCGCGUCGUGGCGUGGCCGGAAGCUGCGCUGCGCUGUCCGUCCGUCGGGGAGGGAAGCGGUCUGCGGUGGGUUUUGGUGUGGCGCAGUAGGUAGUGGAGCGGAGCGCGUGGGCCGCGUUGGCCUGCCGCUGGAGGCCGUUGUCGGUAGCUCACGGCUCGGGUUGGGGGCAGGUCGGGAGUGGUUUCCCCGAGAGGCGAAAGGGGAAAUGGCUUGUGCACGUUGCCAUUAUCAUGUACUCAUAAGACAGCAAGAACUGAUGUACAAUGUGAUGUUUCCUUGUCCUAGCCCUAGCUCUCAUAACUAGAUAUUCCUAAAUAUAUGCUGAAACAUAUUAUUUAAGAGAUCAUAUCUUUAUUAUCGCAAUAUCUANNNNNNNNNNNNNNNNNNNNNNNNNNNNNNNNNNNNNNNNNNNNNNNNNNNNNNNNNNNNNNNNNNNNNNNNNNNNNNNNNNNNNNNNNNNNNNNNNNNNGGAGUUAGUCACAUGAUCUUGUAUUACGAAACGAGCAAAGAUACUUUCCGGUAACGAGAUUGAAAUACGUAUGGAGAUACCGACGACCGAAUCUCGGGCAAGUAACAUACCGAAGGACAAAGGGAAUGGUAUAUGGGAUUAACUGAAUCCUUGACAUAGAGGUUCAACCGAUAGAGAUCUUCGUAGAAUAUGUAGGAGCCAAUAUGGACAUCCAGGUCCCGCUAUUGGUUAUUGACCGGGGAGUGUCUAAGGUCAUGUCUGCAUAGUUCUCGAACCCACAGGGUCUGCACACUUAAGGUUCCGUGACGUUUCGGUAUAGUUGAGUUAUAGGUGUUGGUAACCGAAGUUUUGUUGGGAGUCCCGGAUGUGACGAGGAGUAACGGAAUGGUCCGAAAACGAAGAUUGAUAUAUAGGAAGUUGGUAUUUGGAUUUCGGAAGGAUUCCGGGCAUUACCGAUAGUGUAUCGAGAAUGACGAAUGGGUACCGGGGGCCCACCAGGUGGGCCCACCACUCCCCAAGAAGGCCACAUGGACUUGAUGGUGGCGCAGUAGCUCUUGAUAGGCUGACUAGUCAACCAAAGAAAGCCCAUGAGGUAAAAAGUGGAAAAACCAAAAGAGGUGGACAACUUGGGGAGGAGUCCUACUCCAAGUAGGAUUGGAGGAGGACUCCUCCUCUCCUAGUUCGGCCGAGCCAAGGGAAGGCUCCCUUGGUGGGCAAGCCUAGCCCUUCCUUCCUCUUAUAUAUACUAGAGGUUUGAGGGUUUUUGAGACACAAUUUCAGCCACGUGCUACCCUCUCCUCUAGUUUGUAGUUCUUCCUCUAGAUCGGAUUUCUGCGGUGCUUAGGCAAAGCCCUGCAAGAAUAGAUCACCACCAUCACCGGCGCGCUGUCACACUGCCGAAGAACUCAUCUACCUCUCCGCCCUCUUGCUGGAUCAAGAAGACGGAAAUCGUCAUCGCACUACACGUGUGCUGAACACGGAGGUGCCGUCCAUUCGGCACUAGAUCGGGAUGGAUCGUGAUGGGAUCGUUGGACGGAUCGUGAUGAGAUCGCGAGACGGGCUGCAAUUUCGAUCGCGAAGAUGUUCCACUACAUCAACCACGUUAUAUACACUUCCGCUUAGCGAUCUGCAAGGGUAUGUAGAUUCACUCUCCCCUCUCGUAGAUGAUCAUCAUCAUGGAUAGGUAUUGCAUGUGCAUAGAUUUUUUUUGUUUCCCAUGCAACGUUCCUCAACAAUGGCAUCAUGAGCUAGGUUCAUGCGUAGAUGAAAUCUCGAGUAGAACACAAGAGAGUUUGUGGGCGUUGAUGUUCGAUUUUCUGCCCUCCUUAGUCUUUUCUCGAUUCGGGGGUAUUGUUGGAUUGAAGCGGCCCGGACCAACCUUACUCAUAUGCUUACGAGAGACCGGUUUCAUCGACUAACAUGCAACUUGUUGCAUAAAGAUGACUGGCGGGUGUUUGUUUCUUCAACUUUAGUUGAAUCAGAUUUGACCGAGGCGGUCCUUGGAGAAGGUUAAAUAGCAAUUUGCAUAUCACCGUUGUGGCUUUGCGUAAGUAAGAUGCGAUCAUACUAGAUACCCAUAGCAGCCACAUAAAAUAUGCAACAACAAAUUAGAGGACGUCUAACUUGUUUUGUAGGGUAUGAAUGUGAUGUGAUAUGGCCAAAGACAUGAUGUGAUAUAUUGGAUGUAUGAGAUGAUCAUGUUGUAAUAGUUAAAUAUCGACUUGCACGUCGAUGCUACGACAACCGACAGGAGCCAUAGGAUUCUCUUUAAACUAAUGUUUGUACUUGCAGAUGCGUUUACUAUAUUGCUAGGUAGUAGGUUUAGUAGUAAUAGCAUAGAUAGCACGACAACCUCGAUGGCGGCACGAUGAUGGAGAUCAUGGUGUGGCACCGGUGAUGAUGAAGAUCAUGCCGGUGCUUUGGUGAUCGAGAUCAAGAAGCACAAGAUCAUGGCCAUAUCAUGUCACUUAUAAUUUGCAUGUGAUGUUAAUCCUUUUAUGCACCUUAUCUUGCUUAGAACGACGGUAGCAUUAUAAGGUGAUCCCUCACUAAAAUUUCAAGAUAAAAUUGUGUUCUCCCCGACUGUGCACCGUUGCGACAGUUCGUCGUUUCGAGACAUCAUGUGAUGAUCGGGUGUGAUAGACUCAACGUUCACAUACAACGGGUGCAAAACAGUUGCACACGCGGAACACUCGGGUUAAACUUGAUGAGCCUAGCAUGUAUAGACAUGGCCUCGGAACACAAGAGACCGAAAGGUCGGGCAUAAAUCAUAUGGUAGAUAUGAUCAACAUGGAAAUGUUCACCACUGAAACUAUACUCAACUCACGUGAUGAUUGGACUUGAGUUAGUGAAUUUAGAUCAUGCCACACUCAAAUAACUAGAGGGAUGUCUAUUUGAGUGGGAUUUUAUUAGUAAUAUGAUUAGCUAAACUCAAAUUGUCUUAAACAUAGUCUAAGUAAUCUUUGCAAAAUUUUAUGUUGUAGAUCAAUGGCUCGCGCAGUAGCAACCCUGAAUUUCAAUACGAUCCUAGAGAAAGCUAAGUUGAAAGAUGAUGGUAGCAACUUUGUAGACUGAGCUCGAAAUAUGAGGCUUAUCCUUCAAGCUGGGCAAAAGAAUUAUGUUCUUGAUGCAACACUAGGAGAUGAACCACCCGCUAUGGCUGACCAAGAUGUUUCGAACGCUUGACAAGCUCGUAAGGAUGACUACUCAUUAGUUCAAUGUGCAGUUUUGUAUGGCUUAGAACCGGGACUUCAACGACGUUUUGAACGUCAUGGAGCAUAUGAGAUGUUCCAGGAGUUGAAGUUUAUCUUUGAGAAGAAUGCCCGGAUCGAGAGGUAUGAGACCUCCGAUAAAUUCUAUGCUUGCAAAAUGGAGGAGAAUUCGUCUGUCAGUGAACAUGUGCUCAAAAUGUCUGCUUACUCAAACCGUCUACCUGAGCCGGGGAUYGWWCUCCCGCAAGAAGCUAUCACUGACAGAAUCCUUCAAUCACUGCCGCCAAGCUAUAAAGGCUUUGUGUUGAACUACAACAUGCAAGGGAUGAAUAAGUCUCCCGGCGAGUUGUUUGCGAUGCUGAAAGUCGCAGAGUCUGAACUCCGUAAAGAGCAUCAAGUGUUGAUGGUGAGCAAGACCACUAGUUUCAAGAGAAACGGCAAAGGCAAGAAGGGCAAUUCGAAGAAGAGCGGCAAGCCUGUUGCCAAUCCGCCGAAGAAACCCAAGGCUGGACCUAAUCCUGAAACAGAGUGCUUCUAUUGCAAGGGUAUGGGUCACUGGAAGCGCAAUUGCCCCAUGUAUCUGGCAGAUAAGAAGGCGGGCAAAGAAAAAUCAGGUAUAUUUGAUAUACAUGUUAUUGAUGUGUACUUAACCGGCUCUCGUAGUAGUGCCUGGGUAUUCAAUACCGGUUCUGUUGCUCAUAUUUGCAACUCGAAGCAGGAACUGCGGAAUAGACGAAGGCUGGCGAAAGACGAAGUGACGAUGCGCGUAGGAAACGGUUCCAAGGUUGAUGCAAUCGCCGUCGGCACAGUGUCACUUCAGCUACCAUCGGGAUUAGUGAUGAACUUAAAUCAUUGUUAUUUAGUGCCUGCGUUGAGCAUGAACAUUAUAUCUGGAUCUUGUUUAUUGCGAGACGGUUACUCUUUUAAGUCUGAGAAUAAUGGUUGUUCUAUUUCUAUGAGUAACAUCUUUUAUGGUCAUGCACCGAAUGUGAGAGGAUUGUUCAUAUUGAAUCUUGAUAGCGAUACGCAUAUACAUAACAUUGAGACCAAAAGAGUUAGAGUAAACAAUGAUAGCGCCAUAUUUUUGUGGCAUUGCCGCUUAGGUCAUAUUGGUGUAAAGCGCAUGAAGAAACUCCAUGCUGAUGGACUUUUGGAGUCACUUGACUUUGAUUCACUUGACACGUGCGAACCAUGCCUCAUGGGCAAGAUGACUAAGACUCCGUUCUCCGGAAAAAUGGAGCGUGCAAGUGACUUAUUGGAAAUCAUACAUACCGAUGUGUGUGGUCCAAUGAGCGUGGAAGCACGCGGCGGAUAUCGUUAUUUUCUCACCUUCACUGACGAUUUGAGUAGGUAUGGUUAUGUCUACUUUAUGAAGCACAAGUCUGAAACAUUUGAAAAGUUCAAGCAAUUUAAGAGUGAAGUGGAAAAUCAUCGUAACAAGAAGAUCAAGUUCCUACGGUCUGAUCGUGGGGGUGAAUAUCUGAGUUUCGAGUUUGGUGAUCACUUAAGAAAAUGUGGAAUUGUUUCACAGUUGACACCACCUGGAACACCACAGCGUAAUGGUGUGUCCGAACGUCGUAAUCGUACUUUGUUAGAGAUGGUGCGAUCUAUGAUGUCUCUUACUGAUUUGCCGUUAUCAUUUUGGGGUUAUGCAUUAGAAACAGCUGCAUUCACUUUAAAUAGGGCACCAUCAAAAUCCGUUGAGACGACAUCAUACGAACUGUGGUAUGGCAAAAGGCCAAAGUUAUCGUUUCUUAAAGUUUGGGGAUGUGAUGCUUAUGUCAAAAAGCUUCAGCCUGAAAAGCUGGAACCCAAAGCGGAAAAAUGCGUCUUCAUAGGUUACCCAAAAGAGACAGUUGGGUACACCUUCUAUCUCAAAUCCGAGGGCAAAGUGUUUGUUGCUAAAAACGGAGCUUUUCUCGAAAAGGAGUUUCUCUCGAGAGAAUUGAGUGGGAGGAAGAUAGAACUUGACGAGGUUGUCGAACCUCUCAUCCCUCUGGAUGGUGGCGCAGGGCAAGGGGAAACCUCUGUCGUUGCGACGCCGGUUGAGGAGGAAGUUAAUGAUGAUGAUCAUGAAACUCCAGUUCAAGUUUCUGUUGAACCACGCAGGUCGACAAGAUCACGCGCUGCUCCAGAGUGGUACGGUAAUCCCGUCUUAUCAAUCAUGUUGUUAGACAACAAUGAACCUGCAAAUUAUGAAGAAGCAAUGGUGGGCCCAGAUUCCAACAAAUGGCUAGAAGCCAUGAAAUCCGAGAUAGGAUCCAUGUAUGAGAACAAAGUGUGAACUUUGGAGAUACUACCUGAGGGCCGCAAGGCUAUUCAGAACAAAUGGAUCUUUAAGAAGAAGACAGAUGCUGACGGUAAUGUGACCGUUUAUAAAGCUCGACUUGUGGCAAAGGGUUUUUCACAAGUUCCAGGAGUUGACUACGAUGAGACUUUCUCACCCGUAGCGAUGCUUAAGUCCGUCAGAAUCAUGUUAGCAUUAGCUGCAUUUUUCGAUUAUGAAAUCUGGCAGAUGGAUGUCAAAACGGCGUUCCUUAACGGUUUCCUUAAGGAAGAGUUGUAUAUGAUGCAACCCGAAGGUUUUGUCGAUCCUAAAAAUGCUGACAAGGUGUGCAAGCUCCAGCGAUCCAUUUAUGGACUGGUGCAAGCAUCUCGGAGUUGGAACAAACGCUUUGAUGAGGUGAUCAAAGCAUUUGGGUUUAUACAAGUGGUUGGAGAAUCUUGUAUUUACAAGAAAGUGAGUGGGAGCUCUGUGGCGUUUCUAAUAUUAUAUGUGGAUGACAUAUUACUGAUUGGAAACAACGUAGAGCUUUUGGAGAGCAUAAAAGGUUACUUGAAUAAAAGUUUCUCUAUGAAGGACCUAGGAGAAGCUGCUUACAUUCUAGGCAUUAAGAUCUAUAGGGAUAGAUCAAAACGCCUGAUAGGACUUUCACAAAGCACAUACCUUGAUAAAGUUUUGAAGAGGUUCAAAAUGGAACAGUCCAAGAAAGGGUUCUUGCCAAUUUUACAAGGUACGAGAUUGAGUAAGACUCAGUGCCUAGCAAUUGAUGAAGAUAGAGAGCAUAUGCGCUCCAUCCCCUAUGCUUCAGCCAUAGGUUUCACAAGAAGACCAGACACAUCAAACGACGCUUCAACCUCAUCCGCGACUACGUCGAGGAAGAGGACGUAAAUAUAUGCAAAGUGCACACGGAUCUGAAUGUAGCAGACCCGCUGACUAAACCUCUUCCACGGCCAAAACAUGAUCGACACCAGAACUGUAUGGGUGUUAGAUUUAUUACAAUGUAAUUCACAUGGUGAUGUGAGGGCUGGAUUAUUGACUCUAGUGCAAGUGGGAGACUGUUGGAAUUAUGCCCUAGAGGCAAUAAUAAAUAUAGUUAUUAUUAUAAUUCCUGUAUCAAGAUAAUAGUUUAUUAUCCAUGCUAUAAUUGUAUUGAAUGAAGACUCAUUUAAAUGUGUGGAUACAUAGACAAAACACCGUCCCUAGCAUGCCUCUAGUUGGCUAGCCAGUUGAUCGAUGAUAGUCAGUGUCUUCUGAUUAUGAACAAGGUGUUGUUGCUUGAUAACUGGAUCACGUCAUUGGGAGAAUCACGUGAUGGACUAGACCCAAAUUAAUAGACGUAGCAUGUUGAUCGUGUCAUUUUGUUGCUACUGUUUUCUGCGUGUCAAGUAUUUAUUCCUAUGACCAUGAGAUCAUAUAACUCACUAACACCGGAGGAAUGCUUUGUGUGUAUCAAACGUCGCAACGUAACUGGGUGACUAUAAAGAUGCUCUACAGGUAUCUCCGAAGGUGUUAGUUGAGUUAGUAUGGAUCAAGACUGGGAUUUGUCACUCCGUGUGACGGAGAGGUAUCUCGGGGCCCACUCGGUAAUACAACAUCACACACAAGCCUUGCAAGCAAUGUAACUUAGUGUAAGUUGCGGGAUCUUGUAUUACGGAAUGAGUAAAGAGACUUGCCGGUAAACGAGAUUGAAAUAGGUAUGCGGAUACUGACGAUCAAAUCUCGGGCAAGUAACAUACCGAAGGACAAAGAGAAUGACAUACGGGAUUAUACGAAUCCUUGGCACUAAGGUUCAAACGAUAAGAUCUUCGUAGAAUAUGUAGGAUCCAAUAUGGGCAUCCAGGUCCCGCUAUUGGAUAUUGACCGAGGAGUCUCUCGGGUCAUGUCUACAUAGUUCUCGAACCCGCAGGGUCUGCACACUUAAGGUUCGACGUUGUUUUAUGCGUAUUUGAGUUAUAUGGUUGGUUACCGAAUGUUGUUCGGAGUCCCGGAUGAGAUCACGGACGUCACGAGGGUUUUCGGACUGGUCCGGAAACGAAGAUUGAUAUAUAGGAUGACCUCAUUUGAUUACCGGAAGGUUUUCGGAGUUACCGGGAAUGACGAAUGGGUUCCGAGAGUUCACCGGGGGGGCAACCCACCCCGGGGAAGCCCAUAGGCCAUAAGGGUGGCGCACCAGCCCUUAGUGGGCUGGUGGGACAGCCCAAAAGGGCCCUAUGCGCCAAGGAUAAGAAAUCAAAGGAAAAAGGAAAAAAGGAGGAGGUGGGAAGGGAGGGGGACUCCCUCCCACCAAACCUAGUCCAACUAGGUUUGGGGGGGGGGGGAGAGUCCUCCCCCUUGGCUCGGCCGACCCUCUUGAGGGUCCUUGGACCCCAAGGCAAGGCCCCCUCCCUCCCACCUAUAUAUACGGAGGUUUUAGGGCUGAUUUGAGACAACUUUUGCCACGGCAGCCCGACCACAUACCUCCACGGUUUUUCCUCUAGAUCGCGUUUCUGCGGAGCUCGGGCGGAGCCCUGCUGAGACAAGGUCAUCACCAACCUCCGAAGCGCCGUCACGUUGCCGGAGAACUCUUCUACCUCUCCGUCUCUCUUGCUGGAUCAAGAAGGCCGAGAUCAUCGUCGAGCUGUACGUGUGCUGNNNNNNNNNNNNNNNNNNNNNNNNNNNNNNNNNNNNNNNNNNNNNNNNNNNNNNNNNNNNNNNNNNNNNNNNNNNNNNNNNNNNNNNNNNNNNNNNNNNNAUAAUCAGAAGACACUGACUAUCAUCGAUCAACUGGCUAGCCAACUAGAGGCAUGCUAGGGACGGUGUUUUGUCUAUGUAUCCACACAUGUAAAUGAGUCUUCAUUCAAUACAAUUAUAGCAUGGAUAAUAAACUAUUAUCUUGAUACAGGAAUUAUAAUAAUAACUAUAUUUAUUAUUGCCUCUAGGGCAUAAUUCCAACAAGAUGUGGCUAGACUCAACACCACACGGAUGGUUGCGGGCUUCACCACUGGACUGAAAGUUUCACCAUAAUCAACACCCUCUUGUUGGGUGAAGCCGCGCACAACCCACCGAGCUUUGUAGCGAGCCAAGGUACCAUCAUUCUUGAACUUGUGACGAUAUAUCCAUUUGCCCGUGACGACAUUGACACGUGCAGAUUUGGGCACCAAAGACCAAGUGAAGUUGUUCAUUAAAGCAUAAUAAUUAUCAAGCAUGUCUGGUUUUCAAUUAGGGUCUUUAAGUGCAGCUUUGUAGGAAGAUGGGAGAGGUGAGAUGGUGCUGGAGGUGUUAGUGGCAAGGAAUAAUCGCUUGGGCAUGCAGUAGCCGCGUUUGGCACGAGUGGCCAUGGAGUGAGAGUUGUGUGGUGGUGCAACCGGCAGUGCAUGAGGAGGCACAUGUGGUGCGGGAGGAGUGGAUGGCUCAGCGACCAGGGAGGAUGCUGUGGGUCCAGGCGAAUCGGUCGGAUCCGAGGNNNNNNNNNNNNNNNNNNNNNNNNNNNNNNNNNNNNNNNNNNNNNNNNNNNNNNNNNNNNNNNNNNNNNNNNNNNNNNNNNNNNNNNNNNNNNNNNNNNNCCAGGAGACGUAGCCCUCUUACUGGGACACCGGUGCGGUCAACCCCAUUAGCGACCUGUUCCCGGCAUGGAGCAAUCGGUCCACAGUCCACACACAACUGGAACAAGCAGGUUGAUGGAUUUUGAUAAUACAAAGAUGAUAAUUCAUGGUAUAUAUGUAUCGGCACUGUGCAAAAGGAAAGACUUAGGGAGGUAUGCUAAAAAUAAUUCAGUGCUGGUUUUCAGUGAGUUGUAAAUGAACAUCAUUUCCUUACAAAGAAUAAACAUUAUUACAGGCAUUAUUCAUGAUAUGAUGUUGGUCUGAGAAUUCCAAUUCAGAAGCAUUGAAGCGCCACUUGGCUAAAGUUGCUAAUUUCCUAUGGUUCGGUGAAGAUGGCAUGGAAAUGCGUGUAAAUUUUACAUGCUUGGAUAACUCUUGUUUCUCUUAACACAGAAUAUAUCCUUCCAUUUAUGUAUCUCAUUCAGAGAGAAAUUUAAUGCGCAGACUGACAUUACAUGUCAUUGUUCAUUCAAAAUGUAUGUGCAGGUCAAUAUUGGGAUGUUACUUUCACGGUCUAACAGGUGACAAUGCUAAUUUGUCUGGCCGCUGUUUUGCUGAGAGUUAGGCCAUGUGUCAACUUCGAAACAAUGGAUAGAUCCGUGGGGAGUUUCCGUUCCUGCAAAACUAAAUUUGUUCGAGGGGUCGCAUAUGGGUAGAUGCAGGGAGGUCGAUGGUUGUGCUUGUGAGCUGCCAGAUCGGCGUCGGCGUGACGCGACGCUGGCGAGGGGAAGGCCCUGCAAAUGGGGUGGUGGAGACAAGUAAAGUUGACAGAGCUUGGGCGUGGGGUGGCCGAGGACGCCGUCACCCGUGCGCCGCUCCGGUUGCCAUCAGUAGCUAGUACUGGAGCUCGGUCUCGUGUGCCAAAAAUCCCGUUGCACAAAGGAGAUCCACAUGCGCUGCUGGACAUGCUAUGCUACUCAAUUUGACCCAAGCUACUUCAGUCAUGAUUGAUUUUAGUGGCAGAAUGGGGGGAGACAAUUUGCAUACUGGGGUUUGUGCUUUUCUGUGGUAAUUUACUAAACAUAUUUUGGUGCAUGAUCCCCUUUGACGUACACUUGUGCCAGCCCCAUUAUAUUUCAGUUUGCAAAAUACUCCCUCCGUCCCAAAAUUGUUGUCUUAAGUUUGUCUAGAUAUAAUUAGUAAGGAACGACAAAAAGUGGAUAGUUGAGUUUGUCAAGCACAAUGGCACACCUAACUUUGGUAGAUCACCUGGCUUUGAGAUUUUUGCAUGACUAUAUAAGGUUCCCAUAAACCCCUUUGCUGCUAUAAUGGCUGCUUUUAAUGUACCAGGUUAUUGUCUUUUUCAUCUCAGGUAAAUAGUUCCUUUCUCACCCGUUUUUUCAUAUCGAGAUCAAGAGAUAUAGGGCCGACUGGGGGGUGAAGAUAGCUAGUGCCAUGAGCAAGUGUUGAUGAGGCGGCUGAAUAUCGUUGUUGGGCGAGGGGGGGCACCGUGGUGGUCGAGGGAGAGCAACCAUUAGGGGGGGGGGGGGGUAGAUGUGCUUCUUUGCUUAGGUCCAUGGCGAGGUUCCAUGAGAUGUCGCCGGAUUUCUGAGAGGAUAUACACGUUGAUUGUGGCUGCGAAUAAGAUUACUACUCCUGUGAUUUUGUAUGUUUCCAGAGAGCGUAAAACAAAGAGGACAAAUGUGGGGCAAUUUGUUUGCCGUAUGAUUUUUCUUUUACAUUCUGUUUGUUAUAUGCUUUGUGUGUCGCUGCUUUACAUUUGUAGAGAGAGACACUUCAUGUGCGGUUGCUUUGUGGUGUUCUAUGCUCCAUUGUGUGCUCUGUUUGUGGAAAUUUAUACAUGGCAAUAUAUAGAUUGGAAUUGAGAUUGGGAGCUAAUUUGUUGGUUCUGCUUUGUCUAAUGCUGCCAUUAUUUAUGUGAUGAUGUCAUUAUUGUACAGAAGGAAGGGACAGUGAGAGAGAUGGAUAGAAAUUACUAUUUUUGUUGUAAUUAUCUGUCGUCGAAGCUUAUUAUUUAUAGAUUGUUAUGAUGAAAAGUUAACAAUACUUUUCAUUAUUUCAAAAGCAAUGUCAGAUUUAAUAAUUUGAACUAAACUGGACUACAACAUGUUGAUGUAGAUGAGUAUGAACACGAUUAACAUAAUCAUGCAAUUUUUAGAGACUAAAACAGGUUGGUGAGGCAAUUUUACUUCCGUUACAACGCACGGGCAUUUGUGCUAGUAAUAAGAAAAAACAAUCAACUAUUUUGAAACAAUUUUAUCAAUAUUGUAAAACAAAUCCUAUUUUAAAACAAAAUUCAUUGAAUUGAAAACAAGACACAUGAUUUUAAUAUUAAGUUCAUAAUUCUGAAAAAAAAGUUCAUUCAAGUUUGAAAAAGAUCAACAAUUUUGCAAACUUUCUGUAAAAGUUCAUCAAUUAAAAAAAUCAUAUAUAUGGAAAACAAAUCUUCAAAUACUAUACAAAGAUAUCAAACUGGAAACCAAAUCCAUCAUUUAAAAAAAGUUCAGUUAUUUUGGAAAGAUCUCACGAAAUUUAAUUCAAUAAAAAGAAAAGAAAAAAGAAAAUAAAUGAAAAUAAAAAGAAGAAGGGACAAGUGAGCCGGUCCAGAUUGGUGGGUUUCAGGCGUCCUACAGCAAAACCGACGCCUGUAGCGCCCCUCUUCGUGGCCCGGUCCAUGUAGAGUGUAGCUGGCCAUUAAAAAUCGAAAAAAGUUCACAGAAUUUUUAAAAAAUAGAUUUCCAAAAAAGAUCAAUGAUUUUGAAAAAACGUUCACCGAUUUCUAAAACAUGUUUACCCAUUUUAAAAAGUUCACAGAAUUCAAAAAAAACCAUCGUUUUUGAAAAAAGUUCAUCAAAUUUUAAAAAUAUUUUAUUGAUUUCCAAAAAGUUCACGAAUUUUAAAGUAUGUUCACAGAUUUUCGGAAAAGUUCACCGAUUUAAAAAAAUGGUAAUUUUCAGAAAUGUCCGCCAAUGUCAAAAAAGAUCAUCGAUUUGAAAAAAAGUUCAUAGUCUAAAACACAUAAAGGUUCUCUAGAUGGGCUGGCUCAUCGCGGAAGCGCUGUAACAUUGUUAGCAAAAUUUGUCUAAAACCGACGUUGUGAGGCUAAAUAGGAUAUUCCAACGGUUUCAGCGAAAGAAAUUUUUGCAGAUAGGAUAUAUGUCUCGUCAUCUCGGUACAGCUAUGUGUCACUCGUACCGAUUCCACAUAAGUAUUCUAUGUUUGCCACACUAGCGGGCUGGCACAUUUACCCUGUAGCCGCUGCCACUCGUUGCGAAAGCUGUAUGUUGAACUGUUUGGAUUUUCUGGGUUUCUUGUUGUAUUUUCAUUGGUUUGAUUUUUUUCACUGUUUUCUUUGUGUUUUUUCAUUACUUUGGUCUUCUUAUUUUUAAUUUGUUGUUUUUUAUUUUUCAUUUCUUUCCUUUUUUGCUUUUUUUUGGGUCCUUUGUGGUUCUAGUCUUUCCUUUUUUAACUCGUGUCUAGAUUUUUCUAGCUAUACACAUUAUUAGAGCACACGAAAUGUUAUAUGAUAAACUUUUCAUGUUUUUCAAAUACAUGGUAUGUAUGUUUUAUAAAUGACGUCUUAAUCAUUGUUUUGAUACACACUAACAUUUUCCAAUUACAAUCUGUACAUUGUUUAAUGGUACUGACCAUUUUUUAAAUUAUAUGAACAUCUUUUACACUGACUAAUAUUUUUAAAUUUUUGGAGGAUAUUUUAUAAAACUAUGUGAAUAUUUGUUUCAAAUAUAACGUACAUUGUUUAGUGGAAAGAAAAUAUUUCAAACCUAUGGGAACAUUUGUGUACAUUGUAUAUUUCAUUAAAAAUGUAAGAAACAUUUGUUCGAGUCACCGGAAUAUUUGUUUAAAAUGUCACAUACAUUUUCUUAAAGCUAUGAAACAUAUUUUUCAUGAGACAAACAUUUUAAGUUUUAAAUUACACACAAACUAGUUAUCAUUUGUUUAAUGUAACAUAUAUUUGUUUAAAUAUAAAAAAUAUGUCUUUGAGUUACGCAAACAUUUUUUGUGCAGUAUAUAAAUAUUUUUUUCAAUGGGACUACAUUUGCAUUAAACACGUGACAAUUUUUGUAUACAUCUUUCACUUCUUGGUCACAAACAUUUCUGGUUCUCAUGAUUAAAUUUGUUGUAUACAUCUUUCACUUUUUUUCUAAAUCCAUUUUAUCCUUGCUAAAAACAAAUUUGUGUGUGUGUGUGGGUGGGUGGGUGGGUGUAAUACUUCAGAUAAAAUAACAAUAAAAAAUAAAUCAAGAAAAUAAAGAAAAUUGUGUAAGAAAAAAGGGAACAAACAUGUGUGACCGAGGGAUAAUAACGUCAGCGUGACUAGGAUGUAUCCUCGGCCGUGGCCCGUGUGCCAAAUCGACCUCGGCAAUACUCUGUGCCCAUGGGCCGAGCCCAACUGCACGUAACGCUCUUGCCAGUUUCAGAGUCAAGGGCCAAAAAUACUACACCUACGGACUACCUACACAAUUAACUUACGAAGCCCUCUCACUAACCAAUCACUCUGCCCCGUGAUUUCAACCGUGGGUCCCUUCUUCUGGUUUCCAGCCAAUCAAAUAAUGCCACUGAAGCCCGUAAAUUCAUUCCGUAAAAAAUCGUCCGUAGGUGUAGUGUUGUCCGUCAAGGGCUAUCUUAAAAAAACGACCAAGUAGUUUUACACCUUUCUGUAGACAUUGCAUAAUCUUCUGCUCCCUUGUAAGCAAAUAUAAGAUUAUUUAGAUCACUAAUAGCGAACUAAACGAUCUUCUAUUCCUAUACAUAGGUAGUAAAAAAUAAUAAAUUAAUAAUCAUGUAAUAUAAAUUUUAAAACAUGUUAAACUUUAAAAAUUGUACUUGCAAAAAAAUCUGCAUGCAUCUUGAAAAAGUGUUCGCGCAUUUUUGAAACGAAUUUGACUUGGGUUGUCAGAACUGAAUAUCCUGAGAGGCGGUAGGUUGAGUGAUUACCGAACUACAUUACUAAGGGCAUGUACAAUGAUUUUAUUUUAGAAGUAUCACAUAGGAUAAAUAUCGAUAUGAAGCAAAACAAAUCACAAGAAAUGGCUUGUCUUUCUUUUAUUUACCGAAAAGAUAACGCCCACACGUGUGGUGGUUUUACAACCCGUCCACACACAUGGAUUGUCGUUCAUUGGUUGUUGCACGAAUCUUGACAACUUUUGUCUGAAUUUCGUUGCCACGUAGGACUCAACUGCUGUGUGGACGUUUAAUCACUUCGCCCGCACACCCGUUUCUCUUUCAGCGGAUUUUUUUGGUUUCGAGCUUAAAAAUAUUUUAUCUCCUAAUUAAAAAAUCUAAUUAAAAAUCCCUUUUCACCAUUAAAUCCGCCUCGACGAGAUCUUCAAAACUAGAUCCCAUGUUGAUAUGUUCCGAUGAAAAAAAAAUUGUCUAAAAGUUAUCAUGAUAUUUACACAGUAGUUGUCAUAGUGUUUACAUUAAAAUUGUCAUGACAUGUUCUAUCUAUAUUUUCUUCUAGAUUUAAAGCUACAAUUAUAUUUUCAACUAUUUUUAUGGCAUUUUUUAUUAAUUGACCAUGGCAAUUUUUAGUAAUUAACCAUGGCAAAUUUAAUGCAUGGAUCACGACAAUUUUUAGUAAUCCAUCAUGAUAAAUUUAGUUUAUAGAUCAUAGCAAUUUUAGUUUUUUGACCAUGACAAUUCCAGUACUUUAAUCAUGGAAAUAAUUUAUAUAUGAACCAUGACAAAUUUAAGUGCAUGUAUCAUGACAAAUUUAAGUAAUUCACCAUAUAAGUGUACAUACAUACCUAUUAGCGCUUUCGUCUGUACUGUGUUGAAAAACGUAAUUCACCAUGACAAGUCUAUUUUUUAAUUCUUUGUUUUAUAAUAUGUCAAAAUUACUUUUAAAGAUAGAAGAAAAAAAUAGUUAAAAUAUAUCAUUGCAACUUCAAUGUAAACAAUAUGACCAUUCAUGUGCAAUAGAAGUGGCAACUUUUAGUUGAAACAUACUGAUAUGAUAUUUAGUUUCUAAGAUCUCGCUGCGAUGUAUUUAAUGAUGAAAACAGAUCUUCAAUUGAAUUUUUCAUUUAAAAGGUAAAACAUUUUAAAACCAGAAAAUUCAAAAAGAUUCAUAAAUGCAUGCGUACGGUGACGUGCCUGCAAUGUCCUAGCCACCGAACAUGCGGGCUGUGUUUUGAGACGUCCGGACGUACCCGUGCGGACGGACCUGGGUCGAUGUCGCACAGGACAUACGGAGGUACCUCCCACCUGUCACACAUGUGAUAGAUAUUGCGAUAAUAAAGAUAUGAUCUCUUAAAUAAUAUGUUUCAGCAUAUAUUUAGGAAUAUCUAGUUAUGAGAGCUAGGGCUAGGACAAGGAAACAUCACAUUGUACAUCAGUUCUUGCUGUCUUAUGAGUACAUGAUAAUGGCAACGUGCACAAGCCAUUUCCCCUUUCGCCUCUCGGGGAAACCACUCCCGACCUGCCCCCAACCCGAGCCGUGAGCUACCGACAACGGCCUCCAGCGGCAGGCCAACGCGGCCCACGCGCUCCGCUCCACUACCUACUGCGCCACACCAAAACCCACCGCAGACCGCUUCCCUCCCCGACGGACGGACAGCGCAGCGCAGCUUCCGGCCACGCCACGACGCGCGGGCGUGGCGCCCUGCCGUCCACGGAUCCGCCGUCGAUCUGGAAGGCCGACAAACGCCGCCCCGCUUCCCUUUCCGCUGCUGCCCACUGGAAGAUUAAGUACCGCUCCCCGAGACAGUCAGCUCCACUCCCUCCCUCACUCACUUCCACUCGAGCUCCCACUCCCAUCCCCAUCACCAACCUCUCCCACUCCCACCCCCACCCCCACAUGGCCAUGGCUCCCCACCCACCGGUCCUCCUCCUGCUCCUGCUCCUCCUCUCCGCGCUGCUCCCCGAUGCGGCGCGGGUGGCCGGCGCCGAGGAGGACGCCGGCGUGACCAUCGUGCGCAAGGACGGCACGACCUGCACGCUCUGCGCCUCCUGCGGCAACCCCUGCAACCCCACCCCGGGGUACAGCUACCCCUCGCCACCUCCUCCGGCUCCGGUCACCCCCGCGGCGCCUGUAUUACCGCCUCCCACUUCCUACCCCGCUCCCUCCGGCGGCGGCGGUGGCUACUUCUACCCUCCGCCCACCGGCGGGUACGGAGGAGGCGGCGGCGGCGGCCAAGGAGGACAAGGUGGAGGCGGAGGCGGUGCGUACCCGACGCCGCCGCCGCCCAACCCGUUCCUGCCCUACUUCCCCUUCUACUACUAUAGCCCGCCGCCCCAGCACACGGCCAAGAGCUCGUCGCCGGCCGUCUCGUCGUCCUCCGCGGCGACUACACUGCUGCUGCUCGCGCUCUCUGGGCUCCUGCUGUGGUGAGGAGGACGACGGUGAGAAUGCGAGGUAGAUCUGCCGGUAAAUGCGCUGUCUUUCACACUCCGAAGGCAGUGACUACACUGGCUGGCUUCAUGUGCACUGCAGUAAUUUUCAAUUUUAUUUAUUUAUUCACCACUGUAAUUCCUCAUCUUCUUUUUUUUUUGCUCCUCCCUACGCUCCGUUUCUGUGAUUCAUGUGCCGCUAUAUAGUAGAACUAUAUAUAGGAGACCGUACCAAGUGUAAAACAAGGGCGACUAAUAAUAAGCACCAGUGCUGGUUUAUAUAUAUAUAUAUAUUAUAUAUAUAUAUAUAUAUAUAUGGAUCUGGUAAUUAAGAUAUGCGUUCAUGUCUCUCUCUCAAUGAUUACUUGAGGCGUUGGCAAAGCGAAUGUGCAUCAUAUGGUGGGCAGACACGAAGGCACUGUAUGGAUCUGAUUGAAAUGUCAUGGUGGUUCCCAUGACAUCUCCCACCGUGUGCUAAAGCCGGCUGACAGUUCUUCAGUCUUCACCUCUUCUUGGGUUGGUUGGGUGUGCAGUGUAGCUUUCGAAUGUGAAUCACAUGAGGUUGGUGAAGAAAAGCUGUAAUAAGCUAGCUGUGAAUGUGAAUCAUGUUCGACGUUAGUUGUGGCCUUGUUCUUGCUGCUGAAUACAGUUGUUCAAUGGCAUCGAACGUCAUUGCAGGCCAAAAAACAAAAACAAAAAAACAGUGGAAAAAUAGUGACAGUGGACCUGGUCAAACAUUGCGCUCCUGCAGUUCGGAACACCGAAAGUUAUAAUUUGGCUCACUGCUCACUGGUAAGUGGUAAGCGAACAAUAACCUGCUGCUACCGUACAGGCUUCCAAAACUGAAUCUUGUAGUACGAACAAAGCAGCACUACAGUUUAGAGUCUCCCUCGCUAACGAAGGCACAACAUGGAUCAGUUGGAAGAUAGGAUUCGUUCCUUAACUGAAUCAGUUACAAUGUACAAGUUUAUAUCCUUUUCAGAGGAGAACUAACAGCCAAGAAAAGAGGCACGCAGGCCAGGGCGAGUGGGAUCCUAAUAAGGUGGAUCAGCCUAGACUAAGUACAUACAUGACUACGUACAUGCAAUGAUACAUACAGUGUAGCUAUUCUAACACCCUCCUCAGCUGGAACUCUGUUUGGUAGGACGUUUAGGCUGGAUAUGAAAUCGGUGAAGACGGUAGUCGGCAGUCCUUUGGUAAAUACAUCAACGAACUGAGAGCUCGAUGGAACAUGUAGAACACGUGCUUCACCAAGGGCAACCCGGUCACGAACAAAGUGUAGAUCAAUCUCAAUGUGUUUAGUCCGUUGAUGUUGAACCGGGUUGCAAGCGAGAUAUGACGCACUCACGUUGUCACAAUAGACAAUAGUGGCACGCUGAGGCGGGAGGCGAAGCUCAUGAAGUAACUGACGUAACCAACAUGAUUCCGCCACACAAUUUGCAACACCCCUGUACUCGGCUUCAGCACUAGAACGAGAGAUGGUAGGCUGCCUCUUGGAGGACCAGGAGAUAAAAUUGGCGACGAGAAACACACAAAAUCCAGAGGUGGACUUGCGUGUGUCGGGACACCCGGCCCAAUCCGCAUCCGUAUAGGCAAUAAGAUCCAUAGAAGGAGAUUUAUAAAACUGAAUGGCGAAGUGAGAGGUGCCCUUGAGGUACCGAAGAAUGCGUUUAACAAGUUGCAUAUGAGUGUCACGUGUAGCAUGCAUAAAAAGGCAAACUUGUUGAAUGGCAUAUGCUAUGUCAGGGCGGGUGAGUGUGAGAUAUUGUAGGGCGCCAGCGAGACUACGAUAGUGGGUUGGGUUGGAAAGUAGCUGACCAUCGUGAGAUGACACUUUGGAGCUAGUGUCAAUGGGGUGGAAAUGGGUUUGCAAUUGAGCAUCUUGGCACGCUCAAGGAUUUCAAGAGUGUAUUGCUGCUGGCAAAGGAAGAGACCCACAUGGUUAGGUGUGACAUUGACACCCAAGAAAUGAUGAAGAGCACCCAAGUCAGUCAUGGAAAAUUCCGACUUUAAAGAGUUGAUGAUGGAGGUGAGUGUUCGGGGUGAAUUUACCGUUAGUAUGCAAUGGAGGUUUCAUGGUGCAAGAUGAAUAGUGAGGAGUCACUCUUGGAUGCAUGAAAACCAAGGGAUAAAAGAAAUUCUUGAAAUCGAAGGAACCAAGUGCGAGGAUCCUGUUUCUAACCAUAGAGAGACUUACGAACGAGGCACACAUGAUCCGGUUUAGAGGAAUCCACAAAACCGGCCGGUUGAGAACAGUACACCGUUUCCUUGAGAUCACCAUGGAGGAAUGUAUUUUUGACGUCCAGUUGGUGAAUGUGCCAAGAGUGAGAUGUGUUGGGGAACGUCGCAUGGGAAACAAAAAUUUUCCUACGCGCACGAAGACCUAUCAUGGUGAUGUCCAUCUACGAGAGGGGAUGAGUGAUCUACGUACCCUUGUAGACCGUACAGCAGAAGCGUUUAGGGAGCGCGGUUGAUGUAGUGGAACGUCCUCACGUCCCUCGAUCCGCCCCGCGAACAAUCCCGCGAUCAGUCCCACGAUCUAGUACCGAACGGACGGCACCUCCGCGUUCAGCACACGUACAGCUCGACGAUGAUCUCGGCCUUCUUGAUCCAGCAAGAGAGACGGAGAGGUAGAAGAGUUCUCCGGCAACGUGACGGCGCUUCGGAGGUUGGUGAUGACCUUGUCUCAGCAGGGCUCCGCCCGAGCUCCGCAGAAACGCGAUCUAGAGGAAAAACCGUGGAGGUAUGUGGUCGGGCUGCCGUGGCAAAAGUUGUCUCAAAUCAGCCCUAAAACCUCCGUAUAUAUAGGUGGGAGGGAGGGGGCCUUGCCUUGGGGUCCAAGGACCCUCAAGAGGGUCGGCCGAGCCAAGGGGGAGGACUCCUACCCCCCCCCCAAACCUAGUUGGACUAGGUUUGGUGGGAGGGAGUCCCCCUCCCUUCCCACCUCCUCCUUUUUUCCUUUUUCCUUUGAUUUCUUAUCCUUGGCGCAUAGGGCCCUUUUGGGCUGUCCCACCAGCCCACUAAGGGCUGGUGCGCCACCCUUAUGGCCUAUGGGCUUCCCCGGGGUGGGUUGCCCCCCCGGUGAACUCUCGGAACCCAUUCGUCAUUCCCGGUAACUCCGAAAACCUUCCGGUAAUCAAAUGAGGUCAUCCUAUAUAUCAAUCUUCGUUUCCGGACCAGUCCGAAAACCCUCGUGACGUCCGUGAUCUCAUCCGGGACUCCGAACAACAUUCGGUAACCAACCAUAUAACUCAAAUACGCAUAAAACAACGUCGAACCUUAAGUGUGCAGACCCUGCGGGUUCGAGAACUAUGUAGACAUGACCCGAGAGACUCCUCGGUCAAUAUCCAAUAGCGGGACCUGGAUGCCCAUAUUGGAUCCUACAUAUUCUACGAAGAUCUUAUCGUUUGAACCUUAGUGCCAAGGAUUCGUAUAAUCCCGUAUGUCAUUCUCUUUGUCCUUCGGUAUGUUACUUGCCCGAGAUUUGAUCGUCAGUAUCCGCAUACCUAUUUCAAUCUCGUUUACCGGCAAGUCUCUUUACUCAUUCCGUAAUACAAGAUCCCGCAACUUACACUAAGUUACAUUGCUUGCAAGGCUUGUGUGUGAUGUUGUAUUACCGAGUGGGCCCCGAGAUACCUCUCCGUCACACGGAGUGACAAAUCCCAGUCUUGAUCCAUACUAACUCAACUAACACCUUCGGAGAUACCUGUAGAGCAUCUUUAUAGUCACCCAGUUACGUUGCGACGUUUGAUACACACAAAGCAUUCCUCCGGUGUUAGUGAGUUAUAUGAUCUCAUGGUCAUAGGAAUAAAUACUUGACACGCAGAAAACAGUAGCAACAAAAUGACACGAUCAACAUGCUACGUCUAUUAAUUUGGGUCUAGUCCAUCACGUGAUUCUCCCAAUGACGUGAUCCAGUUAUCAAGCAACAACACCUUGUUCAUAAUCAGAAGACACUGACUAUCAUCGAUCAACUGGCUAGCCAACUAGAGGCAUGCUAGGGACGGUGUUUUGUCUAUGUAUCCACACAUUUAAAUGAGUCUUCAUUCAAUACAAUUAUAGCAUGGAUAAUAAACUAUUAUCUUGAUACAGGAAUUAUAAUAAUAACUAUAUUUAUUAUUGCCUCUAGGGCAUAAUUCCAACAGUCUCCCACUUGCACUAGAGUCAAUAAUCCAGCCCUCACAUCACCAUGUGAAUUACAUUGUAAUAAAUCUAACACCCAUACAGUUCUGGUGUCGAUCAUGUUUUGGCCGUGGAAGAGGUUUAGUCAGCGGGUCUGCUACAUUCAGAUCCGUGUGCACUUUGCAUAUAUUUACGUCCUCUUCCUCGACGUAGUCGCGGAUGAGGUUGAAGCGUCGUUUGAUGUGUCUGGUCUUCUUGUGAAACCUAUGGCUGAAGCAUAGGGGAUGGAGCGCAUAUGCUCUCUAUCUUCAUCAAUUGCUAGGCACUGAGUCUUACUCAAUCUCGUACCUUGUAAAAUUGGCAAGAACCCUUUCUUGGACUGUUCCAUUUUGAACCUCUUCAAAACUUUAUCAAGGUAUGUGCUUUGUGAAAGUCCUAUCAGGCGUUUUGAUCUAUCCCUAUAGAUCUUAAUGCCUAGAAUGUAAGCAGCUUCUCCUAGGUCCUUCAUAGAGAAACUUUUAUUCAAGUAACCUUUUAUGCUCUCCAAAAGCUCUACGUUGUUUCCAAUCAGUAAUAUGUCAUCCACAUAUAAUAUUAGAAACGCCACAGAGCUCCCACUCACUUUCUUGUAAAUACAAGAUUCUCCAACCACUUGUAUAAACCCAAAUGCUUUGAUCACCUCAUCAAAGCGUUUGUUCCAACUCCGAGAUGCUUGCACCAGUCCAUAAAUGGAUCGCUGGAGCUUGCACACCUUGUCAGCAUUUUUAGGAUCGACAAAACCUUCGGGUUGCAUCAUAUACAACUCUUCCUUAAGGAAACCGUUAAGGAACGCCGUUUUGACAUCCAUCUGCCAGAUUUCAUAAUCGAAAAAUGCAGCUAAUGCUAACAUGAUUCUGACGGACUUAAGCAUCGCUACGGGUGAGAAAGUCUCAUCGUAGUCAACUCCUGGAACUUGUGAAAAACCCUUUGCCACAAGUCGAGCUUUAUAAACGGUCACAUUACCGUCAGCAUCUGUCUUCUUCUUAAAGAUCCAUUUGUUCUGAAUAGCCUUGCGGCCCUCAGGUAGUAUCUCCAAAGUUCACACUUUGUUCUCAUACAUGGAUCCUAUCUCGGAUUUCAUGGCUUCUAGCCAUUUGUUGGAAUCUGGGCCCACCAUUGCUUCUUCAUAAUUUGCAGGUUCAUUGUUGUCUAACAACAUGAUUGAUAAGACGGGAUUACCGUACCACUCUGGAGCAGCGCGUGAUCUUGUCGACCUGCGUGGUUCAACAGAAACUUGAACUGGAGUUUCAUGAUCAUCAUCAUUAACUUCCUCCUCAACCGGCGUCGCAACGACAGAGGUUUCCCCUUGCCCUGCGCCACCAUCCAGAGGGAUGAGAGGUUCGACAACCUCGUCAAGUUCUAUCUUCCUCCCACUCAAUUCUCUCGAGAGAAACUCCUUUUCGAGAAAAGCUCCGUUUUUAGCAACAAACACUUUGCCCUCGGAUUUGAGAUAGAAGGUGUACCCAACUGUCUCUUUUGGGUAACCUAUGAAGACGCAUUUUUCCGCUUUGGGUUCCAGCUUUUCAGGCUGAAGCUUUUUGACAUAAGCAUCACAUCCCCAAACUUUAAGAAACGAUAACUUUGGCCUUUUGCCAUACCACAGUUCGUAUGAUGUCGUCUCAACGGAUUUUGAUGGUGCCCUAUUUAAAGUGAAUGCAGCUGUUUCUAAUGCAUAACCCCAAAAUGAUAACGGCAAAUCAGUAAGAGACAUCAUAGAUCGCACCAUCUCUAACAAAGUACGAUUACGACGUUCGGACACACCAUUACGCUGUGGUGUUCCAGGUGGUGUCAACUGUGAAACAAUUCCACAUUUUCUUAAGUGAUCACCAAACUCGAAACUCAGAUAUUCACCCCCACGAUCAGACCGUAGGAACUUGAUCUUCUUGUUACGAUGAUUUUCCACUUCACUCUUAAAUUGCUUGAACUUUUCAAAUGUUUCAGACUUGUGCUUCAUAAAGUAGACAUAACCAUACCUACUCAAAUCGUCAGUGAAGGUGAGAAAAUAACGAUAUCCGCCGCGUGCUUCCACGCUCAUUGGACCACACACAUCGGUAUGUAUGAUUUCCAAUAAGUCACUUGCACGCUCCAUUUUUCCGGAGAACGGAGUCUUAGUCAUCUUGCCCAUGAGGCAUGGUUCGCACGUGUCAAGUGAAUCAAAGUCAAGUGACUCCAAAAGUCCAUCAGCAUGGAGUUUCUUCAUGCGCUUUACACCAAUAUGACCUAAGCGGCAAUGCCACAAAAAUAUGGCGCUAUCAUUGUUUACUCUAACUCUUUUGGUCUCAAUGUUAUGUAUAUGCGUAUCGCUAUCAAGAUUCAAUAUGAACAAUCCUCUCACAUUCGGUGCAUGACCAUAAAAGAUGUUACUCAUAGAAAUAGAACAACCAUUAUUCUCAGACUUAAAAGAGUAACCGUCUCGCAAUAAACAAGAUCCAGAUAUAAUGUUCAUGCUCAACGCAGGCACUAAAUAACAAUGAUUUAAGUUCAUCACUAAUCCCGAUGGUAGCUGAAGUGACACUGUGCCGACGGCGAUUGCAUCAACCUUGGAACCGUUUCCUACGCGCAUCGUCACUUCGUCUUUCGCCAGCCUUCGUCUAUUCCGCAGUUCCUGCUUCGAGUUGCAAAUAUGAGCAACAGAACCGGUAUUGAAUACCCAGGCACUACUACGAGAGCCGGUUAAGUACACAUCAAUAACAUGUAUAUCAAAUAUACCUGAUUUUUCUUUGCCCGCCUUCUUAUCUGCCAGAUACAUGGGGCAAUUGCGCUUCCAGUGACCCAUACCCUUGCAAUAGAAGCACUCUGUUUCAGGAUUAGGUCCAGCCUUGGGUUUCUUCGGCGGAUUGGCAACAGGCUUGCCGCUCUUCUUCGAAUUGCCCUUCUUGCCUUUGCCGUUUCUCUUGAAACUAGUGGUCUUGCUCACCAUCAACACUUGAUGCUCUUUACGGAGUUCAGACUCUGCGACUUUCAGCAUCGCAAACAACUCGCCGGGAGACUUAUUCAUCCCUUGCAUGUUGUAGUUCAACACAAAGCCUUUAUAGCUUGGCGGCAGUGAUUGAAGGAUUCUGUCAGUGAUAGCUUCUUGCGGGAGUUCAAUCCCCAGCUCAGCUAGACGGUUUGAGUACCCAGACAUUUUGAGCACAUGUUCACUGACAGACGAGUUUUCCUCCAUCUUGCAAGCAUAGAAUUUAUCGGAGGUCUCAUACCUCUCGAUCCGGGCGUUCUUCUGAAAGAUAAACUCCAACUCCUGAAACAUCUCAAAUGCUCCAUGACGCUCAAAGCGACGUUGAAGUCCCGGUUCUAAGCCAUACAAGACUGCAUAUUGAACUAUUGAGUAGUCCUCCUUACGUGCUAACCAAGCGUUCUUAACAUCCUGAUCAGCCGUAGCGGGUGGUUCAUCUCCUAGCGCAGCAUUAAGGACAUAAUCCUUCUUCCCAGCUUGUAAGAUUAGCUUAAGAUUACGAGCCCAGUCUACAAAGUUGCUUCCAUCAUCUUUCAACUUAGCUUUCUCUAGGAACGUAUUAAAAUUCAGGAUGACUGUCGCGUGAGCCAUGAUCUACAACACAAAUAUAUUCAAAGUGGACUUUAGACUAUGUUCAAGAUAAUUAGAGUUCAACUUAAUCAAAUUAUAUGCUAAACUCCCACUCAAAAAGUACAUCUCUCUGGUCAUUUGAGUGGUUCAUGAUCCACUUACACUAUCCCAAGUCCGAUCAUCACGUGAGUUGAGUAUAGUUUCAGUGGUAAGCAUCCCUAUGCUAAUCAAAUCAACUAUAUGAUUCAUGAUCGACCUUUCGGUCUCAUGUGUUCCGAGGCCAUGUCUGCACAUGCUAGGCUCGUCAAGCUUAACCCGAGUGUUCCGCGUGCGCAACUGUUUUGCACCCGUUGUAUGUGAACGUUGAGUCUAUCACACCCGAUCAUCACGUGGUGUCUCGAAACGACGAACUGUAGCAACGGUGCACAGUCGGGGAGAACACAAUUUCGUCUUGAAAUUUUAGUGAGAGAUCACCUCAUAAUGCUACCGUCGUUCUAAGCAAAAUAAGGUGCAUAAAAGGAUUAACAUCACAUGCAAUUCAUAAGUGACAUGAUAUGGCCAUCAUCACGUGCUUCUUGAUCUCCAUCACCAAAGCACCGGCACGAUCUUCUUGUCACCGGCGCCACACCAUGAUCAUCCAUCAACGUGUUGCCAUUGGGGUUGUCGUGCUACUUAUGCUAUUACUACUAAAGCUACAUCCUAGCAAAAUAGUAAACGCAUCUGCAAGCACAAACGUUAGUAUAAAGACAACCCUAUGGCUCCUUCCGGUUGUCGUACCAUUGACGUGCAAGUCGAUAUUUCUAUUACAACAUGAUCAUCUCAUACAUCCAAUAUAUCACAUCACAUCGUUGGCCAUAUCACAUCACAAUCAUACCCUGCAAAAACAAGUUAGACGUCCUCUAAUUUUGUUGUUGCAUGUUUUACGUGGUGACCAAGGGUAUCUAGUAGGAUCGCAUCUUACUUACGCAAACACCACAACGGAGAUAUAUGAGUUGCUAUUUAACCUCAUCCAAGGACCUCCUCGGUCAAAUCCGAUUCAACUAAAGUUGGAGAAACCGUCACUUGCCAGUCAUCUUUGAGCAAAGGGGGUUACUCGUAACGAUGAAACCAGUCUCUCGUAAGCGUACGAGUAAUGUCGGUCCAAGCCGCUUCAAUCCAACAAUACCGCGGAAUCAAGAAAAGACUAAGGAGGGCAGCAAAACGCACAUCACCGCCCACAAAAGCUUUUGUGUUCUACUCGAGAAGACAUCUACGCAUGAACCUAGCUCAUGAUACCACUGUUGGGGAACGUCGCAUGGGAAACAAAAAUUUUCCUACGCGCACGAAGACCUAUCAUGGUGAUGUCCAUCUACGAGAGGGGAUGAGUGAUCUACAUACCCUUGUAGACCGUACAGCAGAAGCGUUUAGAGAACGCGGUUGAUGUAGUGGAACGUCCUCACGUCCCUCGAUCCGCCCCGCGAACAAUCCCGCGAUCAGUCCCACGAUCUAGUACCGAACGGACGGCACCUCCGCGUUCAGCACAUGUACAGCUCGACGAUGAUCUCGGCCUUCUUGAUCCAGCAAGAGAGACGGAGAGGUAGAAGAGUUCUCCGGCAGCGUGACGGCGCUCCGGAGGUUGGUGAUGACCUUGUCUCAGCAGGGCUCCGCCCGAGCUCCGGAGAAACGCGAUCUAGAGGAAAAACCGUGGAGGUAUGUGGUCGGGCUGCCGUGGCAAAAGUUGUCUCAAAUCAGCCCUAAAACCUCCGUAUAUAUAGGUGGGAGGGAGGGGGCCUUGCCUUGGGGUCCAAGGACCCUCAAGGGGGUCGGCCGAGCCAAGGGGGAGGACUCUCCCCCCCCAAACCGAGUUGGACUAGGUUUGGUGGGAGGGAGUCCCCCUCCCUUCCCACCUCCUCCUUUUUUUUCCUUUUUCCUUUGAUUUCCUAUCCUUGGCGCAUAGGGCCCUUUUGGGCUGUCCCACCAGCCCACUAAGGGCUGGUGCGCCACCCUUAUGGCCUAUGGGCUUCCCCGGGGUGGGUUGACCCCCCCCCCCCCGGUGAACUCCCGGAACCCAUUCGUCAUUCCCGGUACAUUCCCGGUAACUCCGAAAACCUUCCGGUAAUCAAAUGAGGUCAUCCUAUAUAUCAAUCUUCGUUUCCGGACCAUUCCGGAAACCCUCGUGACGUCCGUGAUCUCAUCCGGGACUCCGAACAACAUUCGGUAACCAACCAUAUAACUCAAAUACGCAUAAAACAACGUCGAACCUUAAGUGUGCAGACCCUACGGGUUCGAGAACUAUGUAGACAUGACCCGAGAGACUCCUCGGUCAAUAUCCAAUAGCGGGACCUGGAUGCCCAUAUUGGAUCAUACAUAUUCUACGAAGAUCUUAUCGUUUGAACCUCAGUGCCAAGGAUUUGUAUAAUCCCGUAUGUCAUUCCCUUUGUCCUUCGGUAUGUUACUUGCCCGAGAUUUGAUCGUCAGUAUCCGCAUACCUAUUUCAAUCUCGUUUACCGGCAAGUCUCUUUACUCGUUCCGUAAUACAAGAUCCCGCAACUUACACUAAGUUACAUUGCUUGCAAGGCUUGUGUGUGAUGUUGUAUUACCGAGUGGGCCCCGAGAUACCUCUCCGUCACACGGAGUGACAAAUCCCAGUCUUGAUCCAUACUAACUCAACUAACACCUUCAGAGAUACCUGUAGAGCAUCUUUAUAGUCACCCAGUUACGUUGCGACGUUUGAUACACACAAAGCAUUCCUCCGGUGUCAGUGAGUUAUAUGAUCUCAUGGUCAUAGGAAUAAAUACUUGACAUACAGAAAACAAUAGCAACAAAAUGACACGAUCAACAUGCUACGUCCAUUAGUUUGGGUCUAGUCCAUCACUUGAUUCUCCCAAUGACGUGAUCCAGUUAUCAAGCAACAACACCUUGUUCAUAAUCAGAAGACACUGACUAUCAUCGAUCAACUGGCUAGCCAACUAGAGGCAUGCUAGGGACGGUGUUUUGUCUAUGUAUCCACACAUGUAAAUGAGUCUUCAUUCAAUACAAUUAUAGCAUGGAUAAUAAACUAUUAUCUUGAUACAGGAAUUAUAAUAAUAACUAUAUUUAUUAUUGCCUCUAGGGCAUAAUUCCAACAAGAUGUGGCUAGACUCAACACCACACGGAUGGUUGCGGGCUUCACCACUGGACUGAAAGUUUCACCAUAAUCAACACCCUCUUGUUGGGUGAAGCCGCGCACAACCCACCGAGCUUUGUAGCGAGCCAAGGUACCAUCAUUCUUGAACUUGUGACGAUAUAUCCAUUUGCCCGUGACGACAUUGACACGUGCAGAUUUGGGCACCAAAGACCAAGUGAAGUUGUUCAUUAAAGCAUAAUAAUUAUCAAGCAUGUCUGGUUUUCAAUUAGGGUCUUUAAGUGCAGCUUUGUAGGAAGAUGGGAGAGGUGAGAUGGUGCUGGAGGUGUUAGUGGCAAGGAAUAAUCGCUUGGGCAUGCAGUAGCCGCGUUUGGCACGAGUGGCCAUGGAGUGAGAGUUGUGUGGUGGUGCAACCGGCAGUGCAUGAGGAGGCACAUGUGGUGCGGGAGGAGUGGAUGGCUCAGCGACCAGGGAGGAUGCUGUGGGUCCAGGCGAAUCGGUCGGAUCCGAGGUGUUGGAAAUAUGCCCUAGAGGCAAUAGUGAAAUGGUUAUUAUCAUAUUUCCUUGUUCAUGAUAAUCGUCUAUUGUUCAUGCUAUAAUUGUAUUAACAGGAAACAGUAAUACAUGUGUGAAUAAAUAGAUCAUAAUGUGUCCCUAGCAAGCCUCUAGUUGGCUAGCUCGUUGAUCGAUAGAUGAUCAUGGUUUCCUGAUCAUGGACAUCGGAUGUCAUUGAUAACGGGAUCACAUCAUUAGGAGAAUGAUGUGAUGGACAAGACCCAAUCAUAAGCAUGGCACUAGAUCGUGUUGUUCGUAUGCUAAAGCUUUUCUAAUGUCAAGUGUCUUUUCCUUCGACCGUGAGAUUGUGCAACUCCCGGAUACCGUAGGAGUGCUUUGGGUGUAUCAAACGUCACAACGUAACUGGGUGACUAUAAAGGUGCACUCCGAAAGUGUCUGUUGGGUUGGUACGAAUCGAGAUCGGGAUUUGUCACUCCGUGUGACGGAGAGGUAUCUCUGGGCCCACUCGGUAGAACAUCAUCAUGAGCUCAAUGUGACUAAGGAGUUAGUCACAGGAUGACGUGCUACGGAACGAGUAAAGAGACUUACCGGUAACGAGAUUGAACAAGGUAUAGGUAUACCGACGAUCGAAUCUCGGACAAGUUCUAUACCGACAGAGAAAGGGAAUUGUAUACGGGACUGAUUGAAUCCUGGACAUCGUGGUUCAUCUGAUGAGAUCAGCGUGGAACAUGUGGGAGCCACCAUGGGUAUUCAGAUCCCGUUGAUGGUUAUUGGAUGGAGAGUGUCUCGGUCAUGUCUUCAUGCCUCCCGAACCCGUAGGGUCUACACACUUAAGGUUCAAUGACGCUAGGGUUAUAGGGAAUUGUUAUACGAGGUUACCGAAGGUUAUUUGGAGUCCCGGAUGAGAUCCCGUACGUCACAAGGAGCUCCAAACUGGUCCGGAGGUAAAGAUUGAUAUAUAGGAUGGAUGGGUUUGAUCGCCGGAAUUGUUUCGGGCGACACUGGUAAUGUACCGGGACCACUGAUACGUCCAUUUUGCAUCAUGCUUUCAUGUUGAUAUUUAUUUCUUUUUGGGCUUUUAUAUUACUUGUGGUACCAUAUUUAUGCCUUUUCCCUCUUAUUUUGUAAGGUUUAUUUGAAGAGGGAGAAUUCAGGCAGCUGGAAUUCUGGACUGGAAAAGGAGCAAAUCUUAGUCCACUAUUCUGCACAUCUCCAAAUGCCCUGAAAAGUUACGUGAAUUUUUUGGGAUUAUAUAAAAAAUACUGGGCAAAAGAAUUACUAGAGGGGGCUGCCAGGGCGCCACAAGCCCUGCCACCGCCACCACCCCCCUGGUGGCGGAGUGGGGGAUUGUGGGCUCCCUCACGGCCCACUAGCCCCCCUCUUUUGCUAUAUGAAGGGGCUUGGUCCAGAAAAAAUCAUACGGGAGCUUUUUCGUGGUUUCGCCGCCGCCACGAGGCGGAACUUGAGCAGAUCCAAUGUAGAGCUCCUGCAGGACGAUCUUGCCGGGGAAACUUCCCUCCCGGAGGGGGAAAUCGUCGCCAUCGUCAUCACCAACACUCCUCUCAUUGGAGGGGAGGCAUCAUCAUCAACAUCUUCAUCAGCACCAUCUCCUCUCCAAUCCCUAGUUCAUCUCUUGUAACCAAUCUUCGUCUCGCAACUCCGAUUGGUACUUGUAAGGUUGCUAGUAGUGUUGAUUACUCUUUGUAGUUGAUGCUAGUUGGAUUACUUAGUGGAAGAGUUUAUGUUCAGAUCCUUGAUGCUAUUCAUUACACCUAUGAUCAUGAUUAUGAUUAUGCUUUGUGAGUAGUUACUUUUGUUCCUGAGGACAUGGGAUAAGUCAUGCUGAUAAUAGUCAUGUGAAUUUGAUAUUCGUUCGGUAUUUUGAUAUGAUGUAUGUUGUCUUUUCCUCUAGUGGUGUCAUGUGAACGUCGACUACAUAAGACUUCACCAUAUUUGGGCCUAGAGGAAGGCAUUGGGGAGUAGUAAGUAGAUGAUGGGUUGCUGGAGUGACAAAAGCUUAAACCCCAGUCUAUGCGUUGCUUCGUGAGGGGUUGAUUUGGAUCCACUAGUUUAAUGCUAUGGUUAGACUUUGUCUUAAUUCUUCUUUUGUAGUUGCGGAUGCUUGCGAGAGAGGUUAAUCAUAAGUGGGAUGCUUGUCCAAGUAAGGGCAGUACCCAAGCACUGGUCCACCCACAUAUCAAACUAUCAAAGUAACGAACGUGAAUCAUAUGAACAUGAUGAAACUAGCAUGACAGAAAUUCCCGUGUGUCCUCGGGAGCGUUUUUCCUCGUAUAAGACUUUGUUCAGGCUUGUCCCUUGCUACAAAAGGGAUUGGGCCACUUGCUGCACCAUUGCUACUACUUGUUACUUGUUACUUUUUGCUUGCUACGUUUCACCUCGCUACACAAUCACUUGUUACCGCUACUUUCAGUGCUUGCAGUUAUUACCUUGCUGAAAUCCGUUUAUGAGAGCCUUCUGUUCCUCGUUGGGUUCGACACUCUUACUUAUCAAAAGGACUACGAUUGAUCCCCUAUACUUGGGGGUCAUCAACCACCGAAAGGGUUUCGGGGGUACACCGGGAGGGGCCACCAGCCCCAAAGGCUAGCAUGAGCCAAAAGGUGGAAGGGAACCAGCCCAGAGUGGGCUGGUGCGCCUCCCACCUAGGCCAAAGACGCCACAAGAGAGGGAAGGGGGGAGUGCUACCUCUUGAGCUUGCGUCGAUUUUUCCCUUGAAGAGGAAAGGGUGAUGCAGCACACUAGCAGUAAGUAUUUCCCUCAGUUUGAGAACCAAGGUAUCAAUCCAGUAGGAGUAUCAAGGACGAAGCACCAAUGUACCUGCGCAAAAAUAGCAAACUUGCACCCAACGCUACAAAGGGGUUGUCAAUCCCUUCACGAUUGAUUGCAAGGUGAGAUCUGAAGGUGGAAAGUGCAACAAAGUAAAAGUGUAAGGCUGAAAAUAUGAUGUGAAGUAGACCCUGGGGCCAUAGUGUUCACUAGAGGCUUUUCUCAGGAUAGCCAAUAUUACGGUGGGUGAACGAAUUACUGUCGAGCAAUUGAUAGAACCGCGCAAAGUCAUGACGAUAUCUAAGGCAAUGAUCACACAAAUAGGCAUCAUGUCCGAGACAAGUAGACCGAUACUUUCUGCAUCUACUACUAUUACUCCACACAUCGACCGCUAUCCAGCAUGUAUCUAGUGUAUUGAGUUCAUGACGAACAGAGUAAUGCUUUAAGCAAGAUGACAUGAUGUAGAGGGAUAAAUUCAUGCAAUAGAUAUAAACGCCAUCUUUUUACCCUUGAUGGCAACAACAAGAUGCGUGCCUUGCUGCACCUUCUGUCACUAACUGAGGUCACCGCACGGUAUGAACCCAAAACCAAGCACUUCUCCCAUUGCAAGAAUCAUAGAUCAAGUUGGCCAAACAAAACCCACAACUCGAAGAGAAUUACAAGGAUAUGAAAUCAUGCAUAUAAGAGAUCAGAAGAAACUCAAAUAAGAUUCAUAGAUAAUCUGAUCAUAAAUCCACAAUUCAUCGGAUCUCGACAAACACACGGCAAAAAAGAUUACAUCGGAUAGAUCUCCAUGAAGAUCAUGGAGAACUUUGUAUUGAAGAUCCAAGAGAGAGAAGAAGCCAUCUAGCUACUAGCUAUGGACCCGAAGGUCUAUGGUGAACUACUCACGCAUCAUCGGAGAGGCAAUGGUGUUGAUGAAGAAGCCCUCCGUAUCCGAAUCCCCCUCCGGCAGGGCACCAGAACGUGCCCCAGAUGGGAUCUUGCGGAGACAGAAGCUUGCGACGGCGGAAAAGUAUUUUCGUGGAUCUCUUCCGUGGUUUUGGAUUUUUCGGUGAUUUAUAGGCGGAAGAAGUAGGGCACAGGAGCCCCAGGGGGCCCACAAGCCUGCCAGGCGCGGGCCCCCUGGCCGCGCCUAGGGGGCUUGUGGCCUCCCCUGGUGGCCUCUGCCUUGGUUCUCAAGCUUCGUGUGUAUCUUUUGUUCUGGAAAAAAUGUUUUUGGAGGUUUUAUUCCGUUUGGACUCCAUUUAAUAUUCUGCUCUGAAAAGGGUCAAAAACACGAAAAAAACAGGAACUGGCACUUGGCACUGAGUUAAUAAGUUAGUCCCAAAACAUAUAUAAAAGGCAUACAAAACAUCCAAAGUUUGACAAGAUAAUAGCAUGGAACCAUCAAAAAUUAUAUAUACGUUGGAGACGUAUCAAGCAUCCCCAAGCUUAACUCCUGCUCGUCCUCGAGUAGGGAAGUGAUAAAGACUGAAUUUUUGAUGUGGAAUGCUACCUAGCAUAUUUGUCCUUUGUAACUUCUUUCAUGUGACAUGAAUGUUCAGAUCCCUAAGAUUCCAAACAAUAGUUUGCUAUUGACAUGAAAACAAUAAUACUUAAAGAAAACUAGCAAGGUAAUCAUGAACUUUUGAAAUAACAAGGCCAUAGUAAAUUAUCCCUACAAAAUCAUAUAGUCUGGCUAUGCUGCAUCAUCCCCACACAACUAAUUUAAAUCAUGCACAACCCCGGUAUUGGCCAAGUAAUUUUUUUCGCACUCUUACUUUCUCAAACCUUUUUCAACUCUCACGCAAUACAUGAGCGUGAGCCAUUAAUAUAGCACUAUAGGUGGAAUAGAGUGUGGUGGAGGUUGCGAGACAAAAAGGAGGAGAUGGUCACAUCGACUCGGUGUAUCAAAGGGCUAUGGAGAUGCCCAUCAAUAGAUAUCAAUGUGAAAGAGUAGGGAUUACCAUGCAAUGGAUGCACUUAGAGCUAUAAGUAUGUGAAAGCUCAAAAGGAGAACUAGUGGGUAUGCAUCCAACUUGCUUGCUCACGAUGACCUAGGGCAAUUUUGAGGAAGCCCAUCAUUGGAAUAUACAAGCCAAGUUAUAUAAUUAAGAUUCCCACUAGCAUAUGGUGGUGAAAAAACAAGACUCUCAAUCAUGAAGAACAUGGUGCUAUUAUGAAGCACAACUGUGGAAAAGAUAGUAGCAUUGUCCCUUCUCUCUUUUUCUCUCUCUUUUUUUGUUUGGGCUCUUUGGCCUCUUUCCAUAUAUAUUUUUUUGUGGGCAACUUUGGCCUCUUUCCAUUUUUUUAUUUCCUCACAUGGGACAAUGCUCUAAUAAUGAUGGUCAUCACACUUUUAUUUACUCACAGCUCAAUGCUUAGAACAAUGAUGACUCUAUAAGAAAUGCCUCCGACAGUGUACCGGGAUGUGCAACGAUCUAGCUUAGCGUAUGACUCGCUAGCUAUCUUACGAUCGUGCAAUGGGAAUAUGAAAGUGACGACACAUGUCAUGAGACGGAACGGUGGGAGUUGCAUGGCAAUAUAUCUCGGAAUGUCUAUGAAAAGGCCAUGAUAGGUAGGUAUGGUGGCUGUUGUUAGGAAGAUCUAUGGUGGUUUUGUGUACCGGCGAAAGUUGCGCGACACUAGAGAGGCUAGCAAUGGUGGAAGGUGAAAGUGCAUCUAUACCAUGGACUCACAUUAGUCAUGAAGAAAUCACAUACUUAUUGUGAAAGUUUUUAUUAGUAAUCAAAACAAAGUGCUAAACGCAUACUCCUAGGGGAAGGGUUGGUAGGUGUUAACCAUCGCGUGAUCCCGACCGCAACACAAAGGAUGACAAUCAAUAAAUCAAUUAUGCUCCGACUUCCUAACAUAGUGGUUCACCAUACGUGCAUGUUACGGGAAUCACUAACUUCAACACAAGUAUUUCUAGAUUGACAACACCCUACUAACAUGAAUCUUAAUAUUACCAAAUCCAUGCCUCAAAACUAAUUGAGAGGAAUCAAACUUCUCUUUCUAAUCAAUGCACAAGAAUAUGGAAGUUUCAUUGUAUCCUCUUUGGGCGCCUAUCAUCUUUGGGACUACUUUCAUAGCACAAGCCAACUACCAAGUUACUCAGAGAGAGCACUCCCAAAAAGAUAUAAGUGAAGAUCGAGAGUUCUUAUUUCUCCAAAAUAUGACACCGCCGUGCUCUAAAAGAUCUAAAUGAAGCACAGAGCAAAAUUAUCUACCUCAAAAGAUAUAAGUGAAGCACAUGUGAGCUAAAUUGUCUAACUCAAAAGAUAUAAGCAAAGCUCAACGAGUAUUCUAGCAAAUUCAUGAUGAGUGCAUGUCUCUCUCAAAAGGUGUGCAGCAAGGAUGAUUGUGACACAACAAAAAGAAAAGACUCCUAUAAUACACAACGCUCCAAGCAAAACACAUAUCAUGUGGUGAAUAAAAAUAUAGCUCCAAGUAAUGUUACCGAUGGAUUGAAGACGAAAGAGGGGAUGCCUUCCCGGGGCAUCCCCAAGCUUAGGCUUUUUGGUGACCUUGAAUUUGGAUUGGGAUGCCUUGUGCAUCCCCAAGCUUGAGAUCUUUCCACUCUUUAUCCCUUUUGUUGGAAUUAUGCCCUAGAGGCAAUAAUAAAUAUAGUUAUUAUUAUAAUUCCUGUAUCAAGAUAAUCGUUUAUUAUCCAUGCUAUAAUUGUAUUGAAUGAAGACUCAUUUACAUGUGUGGAUACAUAGACAAAACACCAUCCCUAGCAAGCCUCUAGUUGGCUAGCCAGUUGAUCAAAGAUAGUCAGUGUCUUCUGAUUAUGAACAAGGUGUUGUUGCUUGAUAACUGGAUCACGUCAUUAGGAGAAUCACGUGAUGGACUAGACCCAAACUAAUAGACAUAGCAUGUUGAUCGUGUCAUUUUAUUGCUACUGUUUUCUGCGUGUCAAGUAUUUAUUCCUAUGACCAUGAGAUCAUAUAACUCACUGACACCGGAGGAAUACUUUGUGUGUAUCAAACGUCGCAACGUAACUGGGUGACUAUAAAGAUGCUCUACAGGUAUCUCCGAAGGUGUUAGUUGAGUUAGUAUGGAUCAAGACUGGGAUUUGUCACUCCGUGUGACGGAGAGGUAUCUCGGGGCCCACUCGGUAAUACAACAUCACACACAAGCCUUGCAAGCAAUGUAACUUAGUGUAAGUUGCGGGAUCUUGUAUUACGGAAUGAGUAAAGAGACUUGCCGGUAAACGAGAUUGAAAUAGGUAUGCGGAUACUGACGAUCAAAUCUCGGGCAAAUAACAUACCGAAGGACAAAGGGAAUGACAUACGGGAUUAUAUGAAUCCUUGGCACUGAGGUUCAAACGAUAAGAUCUUCGUAGAAUAUGUAGGAUCCAAUAUGGGCAUCCAGGUCCCGCUAUUGGAUAUUGACCGAGGAGUCUCUCGGGUCAUGUCUACAUAGUUCUCGAACCCGCAGGGUCUGCACACUUAAGGUUCGACGUUGUUUUAUGCGUAUUUGAGUUAUAUGGUUGGUUACGGAAUGUUUUUCAGAGUCCCGGAUGAGAUCACGGACGUCACGAGGGUUUCCAGAAUAGUCCGGAAAUGAAGAUUGAUAUAUAGGAUGAUCUCAUUUGAUUACCGUAAGGUUUUCGGAGUUACCGGGAAUGACGAAUGGGUUCCGGGAGUUCACCGGGGGGGGGGGGGUCAACCCACCCCGGGGAAGCCCAUAGGCCAUAAGGGUGGCGCACCAGCCCUUAGUGGGCUGGUGGGACAGCUCAAAAGGGCCCUAUGCGCCAUACAAAGGAAAAUCAAAGAGAAAGAAAAAAAAGGGAGGUGGGAAGGAAGGGAAGGACUCCCACCCACCAAACCAAGUCCAACUCGGUUUGGGGGGGGGAGCCUUCCCCCCUUGGACUCGGCCGACCCACUUGGGGCUCCUUGAGCCCCAAGGCAAGGUCCCCUCCCUCCCACCUAUAUAUACGGAGGUAUUGGGGCUGAUUUGAGACGACUUUUCCACGGCAGCCCGACCACAUACCUCCACGGUUUUUCCUCUAGAUCGCGUUUCUGCGGAGCUCGGGCGGAGCCCUGCUGAGACAAGGUCAUCACCAACCUCCGGAGCGCCGUCACGCUGCUGGAGAACUCUUCUAUCUCUCCGUCUCUCUUGCUGGAUCAAGAAGGCCAAGAUCAUCGUCGAGCUGUACGUGUGCUGAACGCAGAGGUGCCGUCCGUUCGGUACUAGAUCGUGGGACUGAUCGCGGGAUUGUUCGCGGGGUGGAUCGAGGGACGUGAGGACGUUCCACUACAUCAAUCGCGUUCACUAACGCUUCUGCUGUACAAUCUACAAGGGUACGUAGAUCACUCAUCCCCUCUCGUAGAUGGACAUCACCAUGAUAGGUCUUCGUGCGCGUAGGAAAAUUUUUGUUUCCCAUGCGACGUUCCCCACCAGUGGCAUCAUGAGCUAGGUUCAUGCGUAGUUGUCUUCUCGAGUAGAACACAAAAGUUUUUGUGGGCGGUGAUGUGCGUUUUGCUGCCCUCCUUAGUCUUUUCUUCAUUCCGCGGUAUUGUUGGAUUGAAGGGGCUUGGACCGACAUUACUCGUACGCUUAUGAGAGACUAGUUUCAUCGUUACGAGUAACUCCGUUGCUCAAAGAUGACUGGCAAGUGUCGGUUUCUCCAACUUUAGUUGAAUCGGAUUUGACCGAGGAGGUCCUUGGAUGAGGUUAAAUAGCAACUCAUAUAUCUCCGUUGUGGUGUUUGCGUAAGUAAGAUGCGAUCCUACUAGAUACCCUUGGUCACCACGUAAAACAUGCAACAACAAAAUUAGAGGACGUCUAACUUGUUUUUGCAGGGUAUGCUUGUGAUAUGAUAUGGCCAACGAUGUGAUGUGAUAUAUUGGAUGUAUGAGAUGAUCAUGUUGUAAUAGAAAAUAUCGACUUGCACGUCGAUGGUACGGCAACAGGAGCCAUAGGGUUGUCUUUAUACUAAUGUUUGUGCUUGCAGAUGCGUUUACUAUUUUGCUAGGAUGUAGCUUUAGUAGUAAUAGCAUGAGUAGCACGACAACCCCGAUGGCAACACGUUGAUGGAGAUCAUGGCGUGGCGCCGGUGACAAGAAGAUCGUGCCGGUGCUUUGGUGAUGGAGAUCAAGAAGCACGUGAUGAUGGCCAUAUCAUGUCACUUAUGAAUUGCAUGUGAUGUUAAUCCAUUUUUGCACCUUAUUUUGCUUAGAACGACGGUAGCAUUAUGAGGUGAUCUCUCACUAAAAUUUCAAGACGAAAUUGUGUUCUCCCCGACUGUGCACCAUUGCUACAGUUCGUCGUUUCGAGACACCACGUGAUGAUCGGGUGUGAUAGACUCAACGUUCACAUACACCGGGUGCAAAACAGUUGCGCACGCGGAACACUCGGGUUAAGCUUGACGAGCCUAGUAUGUGCAGACAUGGCCUCGGAACACAUGAGACCAAAAGGUCGAUCAUGAAUCAUAUAGAUGAUAUGAUUAGCAUAGGGAUGCUUUACACUGAAACUAUACUCAACUCACGUAAUGAUCGGACUUGAGCUAGUGUAAGUGGAUCAUGAACCACUCAAAUGAAUAGAGAGAUGUACUUUUUGAGUGGGAGUUUAGCGAAUAAUUUGAUUAAGUUAAACUCUAAUUAUCUUGAACAUAGUCUAAGUCCACUUUGAAUAUAUUUGUGUUGUAGAUCAUGGCUCACGCGACAGUCAUCCUGAAUUUUAAUACGUUCCUAGAGAAAGCUAAGUUGAAAGAUGAUGGAAGCAACUUUGUAGACUGGGCUCGUAAUCUUAAGCUAAUCUUACAAGCUGGGAAGAAGGAUUAUGUCCUUAAUGCUGCGCUAGGAGAUGAACCACCCGCUACGGCUGAUCAGGAUGUUGAGAACGCUUGGUUAGCACGUAAGGAGGACUACUCAAUAGUUCAAAUGUGCGGUCUUGUAUGGCUUAGAGCCGGGACUUCAACGUCGCUUUGAGCGUCAUGGAGCAUUUGAGAUGUUCCAGGAGUUGAAGUUUAUCUUUCAGAAGAACGCCCGGAUCGAGAGGUAUGAGACCUUCGAUAAAUUCUAUGCUUGCAAGAUGGAGGAAAACUCGUCUGUCAGUGAACAUGUGCUCAAAAUGUCUGGGUACUCAAACUGUCUAGCUGAGCUGGGGAUUGAACUCCCGCAAGAAGUUGUCACUGACAGAAUCCUUCAAUCACUGCCGCCAAGCUAUAAAGGCUUUGUGUUGAACUACAACAUGCAAGGGAUGAACAAGUCUCCCGGCGAGUUGUUUGCGAUGCUGAAAGUCGCAGAGUCUGAACUCCGGAAAGAGCAUCAAGUGUUGAUGGUGAAUAAGACCACUAGUUUCAAGAGAAACGACAAAGGCAAGAAGGGCAAUUCGAAGAAGAGCGGCAAGCUUGUUGCCAAUCCGAUGAAGAAACCCAAAGCUGGACCUAAGCCUGAAACAGAGUGUUACUGUUGCAAGGGUAUGGGUCACUGGAAGCGCAAUUGCCCCAAGUAUUUGGCAGAUAAGAAGGCGGCCAAAGAAAAAUCAGGUAUAUUUGAUAUACAUGUUAUUGAUGUAUACUUAACCGGCUCUCGUAGUAGUGCCUGGGUAUUCGAUACCGGUUCUGUUACUCAUAUUUGCAACUCGAAACAGGAACUGCGGAAUAGACGGAGGCUGGCGAAAGAUGAAGUGACGAUGCGCGUAGGAAAUGGUUCCAAGGUUGAUGCAAUCGCCGUCGGCACAGUGUCACUUCAAUUACCAUCAGGAUUAGUGAUGAACUUAAAUCAUUGUUAUUUAGUGCCUGCGUUGAGCAUGAACAUUAUAUCUGAAUCUUGUUUAUUGCGAGACGGUUACUCUUUUAAGUCGGAGAAUAAUGGUUGUUCUAUUUCUAUGAGUAACAUCUUUUAUGGUCAUGCACCGAAUGUGAGAGGAUUGUUCAUAUUGAAUCUUGAUAGCGAUACGCAUGUACAUAACAUGGAGACCAAAAGAGUUAGAGUUAACAAUGAUAGCGCCAUAUUUUUGUGGCAGUGCCGCUUAGGUCAUAUUGGUGUAAAGCGCAUGAAGAAACUCCAUGCUGAUGGACUUUUGGAGUCACUUGACUUUGAUUCACUUGACACGUGCGAACCAUGCCUCAUGGGCAAGAUGACUAAAACUCCGGUCUCCGGAACAAUGGAGCGUGCAAGUGACUUGUUGGAAAUCAUACAUACCGAUGUGUGUGGUCCGAUGAGCGUGGAGGCACGCGGCGGAUAUCGUUAUUUUCUCACCUUCACUGACGAUUUGAGUAGAUAUGGUUAUGUGUACUUGAUGAAGCACAAGUCUGAAAUAUUUGAAAAGUUCAAGCAAUUUCAGAGUGAAGUGGAAAAUCAUCGUAACAAGAAGAUCAAGUUCCUACGGUCUGAUCGUGGGGGUGAAUAUCUGAGUUUCGAGUUUUGUGCUCACUUAAGACAAUGUGGAAUUGUUUCACAGUUAACACCGCCUGGAACACCACAGCGUAAUGGUGUGUCCGAACGUCGUAAUCGUACUCUAUUAGAGAUGGUGCGAUCUCUGAUGUCUCUUACUGAUUUGCCGUUAUCAUUUUGGGGUUAUGCAUUAGAAACAGCUGCAUUCACUUUAAAUAGGGCACCAUCAAAAUCCGUUGAGACGACACCAUACGAACUGUGGUAUGGCAAAAGGCCAAAGUUGUCGUUUCUUAAAGUUUGGGGAUGUGAUGCUUAUGUCAAAAAGCUUCAGCCUGAAAAGCUGGAACCCAAAGCGGAAAAGUGCGUCUUCAUAGGUUACCCGAAAGAGACAGUUGGGUACACCUUCUAUCUCAAAUCCGAGGGCAAAGUGUUUGUUGCUAAAAACGGAGCUUUUCUCGAGAAGGAGUUUCUCUCGAGAGAAUUGAGUGGGAGGAAGAUAGAACUUGACGAGGUUGUCGAACCUCUCAUCCCUCUGGAUGGUGGCGCAGGGCAAGGGGAAACCUCUGUCAUUGCGACGCCGGUUGAGGAGGAAGUUAAUGAUGAUGAUCAUGAAACUCCGGUUCAAGUUUCUGUCGAACCACGUAGGUCGACGAGACCACGUGCUGCUCCAGAGUGGUACGGUAAUCCCGUCUAAUCAAUCAUGUUGUUAGACAACAAUGAACCUGCGAAUUAUAAAGAAGCAAUGGUGGGCCCAGAUUCCAACAAAUGGCUGGAAGCCAUGAUGUCCGAGAUAGGAUCCAUGUAUGAGAACAAAGUGUGGACUUUGGAGGUACUACCUGAGGGCCGCAAGGCUAUUCAGAACAAAUGGAUCUUUAAGAGGAAGACGGACGCUGACGGCAAUGUGACCGUUUAUAAAGCUCGACUUGUGGCAAAUGGUUUUUCACAAGUUCAAGGAGUUGACUACGAUGAGACAUUCUCUCCCGUAGCGAUGCUUAAGUCCUCCAGAAUCAUGUUAGCAAUAGCUGCAUUUUUCGAUUAUGAAAUCUGGCAGAUGGAUGUCAAAAUGGCGUUCCUUAACGGUUUCCUUAAGGAAGAGUUGUAUAUGAUACAACCCGAAGGUUUUGUCGAUCCUAAGAAUGCUAACAAGGUGUGCAAGCUCCAGCGAUCCAUUUAUGGACUGGUGCAAGCAUCUCGGAGUUGGAACAAAUGCUUUGAUGAGGUGAUCAAAGCAUUUGGGUUUAUACAAGUGGUUGGAGAAUCUUGUAUUUACAAGAAAGUGAGUGGGAGCUCUGUGGCGUUUCUAAUAUUAUAUGUGGAUGACAUAUUGCUGAUUGGAAACAACGUGGAGUUUUUAGAGAGCAUAAAGGAUUACUUGAAUAGGAGUUUCUCUAUGAAGGACCUAGGAGAAGCUGCUUACAUUCUAGGCAUUAAGAUCUAUAGGGAUAGAUCAAAACGCCUGAUAGGACUUUCACAAAGCACAUACCUUGAUAAAGUUUUGAAGAGGUUCAAAAUGGAACAGUCCAAGAAAGGGUUCUUGCCAGUUUUACAAGGUACGAGAUUGAGUAAGACUCAGUGCCCAGCAACUGAUGAAGAUAGAGAGCAUAUGCGCUCCGUCCCCUAUGCUUCAGCCAUAGGUUCUAUCAUGUAUGCAAUGUUGUGCACUAGACCGGAUGUUAGCCUGGCCAUAAGUAUGGCAGGUAGGUUCCAGAGUAAUCCAGGAGUGGAUCACUGGACAGCGGUCAAGAAUAUCCUGAAGUACCUGAAAAGGACUAAGGAGAUGUUUCUCGUGUAUGGAGGUGACGAAGAGCUCGCCAUAAAAGGUUACGUCGAUGCAAGCUUUGACACAGAUCCGGACGACUCUAAGUCGCAAACCGGAGACGUAUUUAUUCUUAUGGGGGUGCGGUAAGCUGGUACAGUUCCAAGCAAAGCGUCGUAGCAGAUUCUACAUGUGAAGUGGAGUACAUGGCUGCCUCGGAGGCGGCCAAGGAGGGUGUCUGGAUGAAGCAGUUCAUGACGGAUCUUGGAGUGGUGCCAAGCACACUGAAUCCUAUAACCUUGUUCUGUGACAACACGGGUGCCAUUGCCUUAGCAAAGGAACCACGGUUUCACAAGAAGACCAAACACAUCAAACGACGCUUCAACCUCAUCCGCGACUACGUCGAGGGAGAGGACGUAAAUAUAUGCAAAGUGCACACGGAUCUGAAUGUAGCAGACCCGCUGACUAAACCUCUUCCAUGGUCAAAACAUGAUCAACACCAGAACUGUAUGGGUGUUAGAUUUAUUACAAUGUAAUUCACAUAAUGAUGUGAGGGCUAGAUUAUUGACUCUAGUGCAAGUGGGAGACUGUUGGAAUUAUGCCCUAGAGGGAAUAAUAAAUAUAGUUAUUAUUGUAAUUCCUGUAUCAAGAUAAUCGUUUAUUAUCCAUGCUAUAAUUGUAUUGAAUGAAGACUCAUUUACAUGUGUGGAUACAUAGACAAAACACCGUCCCUAGCAAGCCUCUAGUUGGCUAGCCAGUUGAUCAAAGAUAGUCAGUGUCUUCUGGUUAUGAACAAGGUGUUGUUGCUUGAUAACUGGAUCACGUCAUUAGGAGAAUCACGUGAUGGACUAGACCCAAACUAAUAGACGUAGCAUGUUGAUCGUGUCAUUUUAUUGCUACUGUUUUCUGCGUGUCAAGUAUUUAUUCCUAUGACCAUGAGAUCAUAUAACUCACUGACACCGGAGGAAUACUUUCUGUGUAUCAAACGUCGCAAUGUAACUGGGUGACUAUAAAGAUGCUCUACAGGUAUCUCCGAAGGUGUUAGUUGAGUUAGUAUGGAUCAAGACUGGGAUUUGUCACUCCGUGUGACGGAGAGGUAUCUCGGGGCCCACUCGGUAAUACAACAUCACACACAAGCCUUGCAAGCAAUGUACCUUAGUGUAAGUUGCGAGAUCUUGUAUUACGGAACGAGUAAAGAGACUUGCGGGUAAACGAGAUUGAAAUAGGUAUGCGGAUACUGACUAUCAAAUCUCGGGCAAGUAACAUACCGAAGGACAAAGGGAAUGACAUACGGGAUUAUAUGAAUCCUUGGCACUAAGGUUCAAACGAUAAGAUCUUCGUAGAAUAUGUAGGAUCCAAUAUGGGCAUCCAGGUCCCGCUAUUGGAUAUUGACCGAGGAGUCUCUCGGGUCAUGUCUACAUAGUUCUCGAACCCGCAGGGUCUGCACACUUAAGGUUCGACGUUGUUUUAUGCGUAUUUGAGUUAUAUGGUUGGUUACCGAAUGUUGUUCGGAGUCCCGGAUGAGAUCACAGACGUCACGAGGGUUUCCGGAAUAGUUCGGAAACGAAGAUUGAUAUAUAGGAUGACCUCAUUUGAUUACCGGAAGGUUUUCGGAGUUACCGGGAAUGUACCGGGAAUGACGAAUGGGUUCCGGGAGUUCACCGGGGGGGGGGUCAACCCACCCCGGGGAAGCCCAUAGGCCAUAAGGGUGGCGCACUAGCCCUUAGUGGGAUGGUGGGACAGCCCAAAAGGGCCCUAUGCGCCAUACAAAGGAAAAUCAAAGAGAAAGAAAAAAAAAGGCUGGUGGGAAUGAAGGGAAGGACUCCCACCCACCAAACCAAGUCCAACUCGGUUUGGGGGGGAGCCUUCCCCCCUUGGACUCGGCCGACCCCCUUGGGGCUCCUUGAGCCCCAAGGCAAGGUCCCCUCCCUCCCACCUAUAUAUACGGAGGUAUUGGGGCUGAUUUGAGACGACUUUUCCACGGCAGCCCGACCACAUACCUCCACGGUUUUUCCUCUAGAUCGCGUUUCUGCGGAGCUCGGGCGGAGCCCUGCUGAUACAAGGUCAUCACCAACCUCCGGAGCGCCGCCACGCUGCCGGAGAACUCUUCUACCUCUCCGUCUCUCUUGCUGGAUCAAGAAGGCCGAGAUCAUCGUCGAGCUGUACGUGUGCUGAACGCGGAGGUGCCGUCCGUUCGGUACUAGAUCGUGGGAUUGAUCGCGGGAUUGUUCGCGGGGCGAAUCGAGGGACGUGAGGACGUUCCACUACAUCAACCGCGUUCACUAACGCUUCUGCUGUACGAUCUACAAGGGUACGUAGAUCACUCAUCCCCUCUCGUAGAUGGACAUCACCAUGAUACGUCUUCGUGCGCGUAGGAAAAUUUUUGUUUCCCAUGCGACGUUCCCCACCACCUUUGUCCAUGAGAACAUCACCCAAAACUUGAAAACUUCACAACAGAAAACUUAAACAGAAACUCGUGAUAUCAUUAGCACAAGAAAACAAACUACCACCUCUUGAGUUACUGUAGCAAACUUUAUUUCUAUUUAUAUUGGUGUUAGAUUACUGUAUUCUCACUUUCCAUUGGCUAGUACCCCCCGAAACUAUCCAUAGUUUCAUCAAAAUAAGCAAUCAACACAACAAAAACAGAACCUGUCAAAAACAGACCAGUCUGUAGCAAUCUGUAUACUUCUGGUAUCUCAAAAAUUCUGAAACAUUAAGACAGUUUGUGAAAUUGGCAUAUAGACCAGCAGCAAAAAUAAUCAACUCAAAAGCUCUUUCUGGAUAAAAAUUAAAAAUAAUUGUGUGAGCGAAAAGUUUCUAUCUUUUUCCAGCAGGAUCAAACAACCAUCACCAAACUAAUCAUAAAGGUUUUACUUGGCUCAAACACAAAAAGAAACACAAAAGACACAAUCAUAACAGAAUUAUGAUGGUGUGGACGCAACAAAACAGAAAACAAAAAAGCAAAGAUAAAUUCAUUGGUUGCCUCCCAACAAGCGCUAUUGUUUAACACCCUUAGCUAGGCAUAAGGCGAUAGAAUCACGUAUCGUCGUCUUUGGCACUCAAACCAUAAGUAGCCCUCAUCAUGGAUUCAUAAGGCAAUCUUAUUUCUUUCUAGGAAAAUGUUCCAUGCCCUUCUUUAAAGGAAAUUGAAAUCUAAUAUUCCCUUCCUUCAUAUCGAUGACAGCACCAAUAGUCCUUAGGAAAGGUCUACCAAGAAUGAUAGGACAUGUAGGAUUGCAAUCAAUAUCAAGCACAAUGAAAUCUACGGGUACAUAGUUCCUAUUUGCAAUAAUAAGAACAUCAUUGAUCCUUCCCAUAGGUUUCUUAACAGUAGAAUCCGCAAGAUGCAAAUUAAGAGAGCACUCAUCAAUCUCAUUAAAGCCUAGAACAUCACAUAAAGACUUUGGAAUCGCGGAAACACUAGCACCCAAAUCACACAAAGCAUUGCAUUCGUAGUUUUCGAUCUUGAUUUUGAUAGUAGGUUCCCACUCAUCAUGAAGUUUUCUAGGAAUAGAGACUUCCAAUUCAAGUUUCUCUUCAAGAGAUUUCAUCAUAGCAUCGACGAUAUGAUCGGUAAAGGCCUUGUUUUGGCUAUAAGCGUGUGGAGAGUUUAGCAUGGAUUGCAUCAAGGAAAUACAUACAAUCAUAGAGCAACUAUCAUAAUUGAAUUCCUUGAAAUCCAAAGUAGUAGUUUCAUUACUACUCAAAGUUUUGAUAUCCUCUACUCCACUUUCAAUACUUUUAGCAUCAAGAUAGAUAGACUCCGAAUCAUUGGGGAGUUUUUCAACCAAAGUGGAUUCGUAUACAGGUCCAUCAUCAUUAGGUUUGACACUAGAAAACAAGGAUUCAAUGGGAGUCACACCAAGCACUUUAAGAUCUUCAUGAUUCUUAUCAUGAGAACACGCCUUUUUAAGCCAUUCAUGUCUAGCACGAAUUUGGGCGGUUCUUUCUUUACUCUCAUUCAUGGAAACACGCAUAGCUUUCAAAGUUUCAUCCAUAUUGAUCUUGGGAGGAGCACAUCUAACUUUCAAAGCAUCAAUAUCAAGAGACAUUCUAUCAACGCUCCUAGCCAAAUCAUCAAUUUUGAGUAGUUUUUCCUGUAUGGACGGAUUGAAAAUCUUCUGCGAGUUGAUAAACUCUUUAAUAUUACUCUCUAGAUCAGAGGGUAAUUUAUUAUAAUUUCCAUGAGCAUUGUUGUAGGAGUUGCCAAAGUUAUUAGAGGGAUUACUAGGAAAAGGCCUAGGAACAUAGUUUCCUCUAAAAGCAUUGUUGUUGCCAAAAUUAUUCCUACCAACAAAAUUAACGUCCAAGCUUUCGUUGCUACUCUCAAUCAAGGAAGACAAGGGCAUAUCAUUUGGAUCUAAAGGAGCACCUUUACUAGCAAACAAUUUCAUUAACUCAUCCAUCUUAGCACUCAACGAGUUAAUUUCUUCUAUAGCGUGUACCUUCUUACUAGUAGGUGACCUUUCAGUGUGCCACUGAGAAUGGUUUGUCAUGAUAUUGUCUUUCAUAACAAGAUUCAGCAAAGCAGCAUUGAUUUCAUAUGAUUCCGCACUAGUGGCAGGAGCAAUUGGAGUAUUAAUAAAAUCAUUAUUAUUAGUACUCGAGAAGUCACAAAGUUUGGUGUUUUCAGUCAUGGUGACUUCAGCAAACAGACAAGCACACAAGCGAACAGAAAGCAAGCGAAAGAAAAGGGCGAACGAAAAAGGCAAAUAUUUUUGUAAAUUUUAGUUUUUCAGAAGUGGGGGAGAGGAAAACGAGAGGCAAAAAAGUAAAUGCAAGAGAUGAGUUUGCAACACUUACUUGGAUAAGCUUCACUUGAUGCUUCCCGGCAACGGCGCCAGAAAUUCUUCUUGCUACCUCUUGAGCUUGUGUUGGUUUUUUCCCUUGAAGAGGAAAGGGUGAUGCAACAUAGUAGCAGUAAGUAUUUCCCUCAGUUUGAGAACCAAGGUAUCAAUCCAGUAGGAGUAUCAAAGACGAAGCACCAAUGUACCUGCGCAAAAACAGCAAACUUGCACCCAACGCUACAAAGGGGUUGUCAAUCCCUUCACGAUUGAUUGCAAGGUGAGGUCUGAAGGCGGAAAGUUCAACAAAGUAAAAGUGUAAGGCUAAAAAUAUGAUGUGAAGUAGACCCGGGGGCCAUAGUGUUCACUAGAGGCUUCUCAAGAUAGCAAAUAUUACGGUGGGUGAACGAAUUACUGUCGAACAAUUAAUAGAACCGCGCAAAGUCAUGACGAUAUCUAAGGCAAUAAUCAUACAUAUAGGCAUCAUGUCCGAGACAAGUAGAUCGAUACUUUCUGCAUCUACUACUAUUACUCCACACAUCGACCGCUAUCCAGCAUGCAUCUAGUGUAUUGAGUUCAUGACGAACAGAGUAGUGCUUUAAGCAAGAUGACAUGAUGUAGAGGGAUAAAUUCAUGCAAUAGAUAUAAACCCCAUCUUUUUACCCUUGAUGGCGACAACAUGAUGCGUGCCUCGCUACCCCUUCUGUCACUGGGUGAGGUCACCGCACGGUAUGAACCCAAAACCAAGCACUUCUACCAUUGCAAGAAUCAUAGAUCAAGUUGGGCAAAUAAAACCCACAACUCGAAGAGAAUUAGAAGGAUAUGAAAUCAUGCAUAUAAGAGAUCUGAAGAAACUCAAAUAAGAUUUAUAGAUAAUCUGAUCAUAAAUCCACAUUUCAUCGGAUCUCGACAAACACACCGCAAAAGAAGAUUACAUCGGAUAGAUCUCCAUGAAGAUCAUGGAUAACUUUGUAUUGAAGAUCCAAGAGAGAGAAGAAGCCAUCUAGCUACUAGCUAUGGACUUGAAGGUCUAUGGUGAACUACUCACGCAUCAUCGAAGAGGCAAUGGUGGUGAUGAAGAAGCCCUCUGUAUUUGAAUCCCCCCUCCGACAGGGCACCAGAACGUGCCCCAGAUGGGAUCUUGCGAAGACAGAAGCUUGCGGCUGCGGAAAAGUAUUUUCGUGGAUCUCUUCCAUGGUUUUGGAUUUUUCAGGGAUUUAUAGGUGGAAGAAGUAGGGAAGAGGAGCCCCAUGGGGCCCACAAGCCUGCUAGGCGCGGCCCUCCUGGCCGCGCCUAGGGGGCUUGUGACCUCCCCUGGUGGCCUCUGCCUUGGUUCUCAAGCUUCGUGCCUAUCUUCUGUUCCGGAAAAAAUAUUUGUGGAGGUUUUAUUCCAUUUGGACUCCGUUUAAUAUUCUCCUAUGAAAAGGGUCAAUAACAUGGAAAAAAUAGGAACUGGCACUUGGCACUGAGUUAAUAAGUUAGUCCCAAAAAAGAUAUAGAAGGCAUACAAAACAUCCAAAGUUUGACAAGAUAAUAGCAUGGAACCAUCAAAAAUUAUAGAUACGUUGGAGACGUAUCACGGAGAAACCCUAGUGCAGAUGGGCCUAAGGCUCAUGUGGGGGCGCCACCCCCUCUCCCUUUCCCUGGCUGCCACAACCUGCCCCAUCUAGGGCUGUCGCCCCCCUUUAGGGUGGGAAACCCUAAAGGGGGCGCCACCCUCCUUUCCCCCUAUAUAUAGCGGGGUUUUUUGGCCUUUGAGAACACGGUUUUCCAUCUCUCUCAGUGCAUCUCUGUCUCUCUUCUUCCUCCUCUCCGACGGUGCUUGGCGAAGCCCUGCCGGGAGACCUCGUCUCUCCAUCGACACCACGCCGUCGUGUUGUCGGAGAUCUUCCCCAACCUCUCCCUCCUCCUUGCUGGAUCAAGGUGCGGAAGACGUCACCGGGCUACACGUGUGUCGAACGCGGAGGUGCCGUGAUUCGGCACUAGAUCGGAAUCACACCGCGAUCUGAAUCGCCACGAGUACGACUCCAUCUACCGCGUUCUAGCAACGCUUCCGCUUAGUGAUCUUCAAAGGUAUGAAGAUGCACUCUCCCCUCUCUCUUUGCUAGUUUCUCCAUAGGAAGAUCUGAAUAUGGCGUAGGAAAUUUUUUGAAUUUAUGUUACGUUCACCAACAGUGGCAUCCGAGCCAGGUUUUCUAUACGUAGAUUCUAUGCACGAGUAGAACACAAAAGAGUUGUGGGCGCUGAUUUUGUAAAUUGCUUGCCGCUACUAGUCUUAUUCUUUUCCGGCGGUAUUGUGGGAUGAAGCGGCCCGGACCGCCUUUACACGUACGCUUACGUGAGACAGGUUCCACCAGCCGACAUGCACACCGUGCAUAAAGGUGGCUAGCGGGUGUCUGUCUCUCCCACUCUAGUCGGAUUUGAUUUGAUGAAAAGGUUCCUUAUGAAGGGUAAGUAGCUUUGGCAUAUCAUUGUUGUGGCUGUCAUGUAGUUAAGAAGGCGUUCUUGCUAGAAACCCAAAUCAGCCACGUAAAACUUGCAACAACAAUUAGAGGACGUCUAACUUGUUUUUGCACGGUUUGACAUGUGAUGUGAUAUGGCCAAAGUUGUGAUGUUACAUGUGUAAUGUAUGAGAUGAUCAUGUUAUUGUAAUAGGAUUCACGACUUGCAUGUCAUUGAGUAUGAAAACCGACACGAGCCAUAGGAGUUGUCUUAAUUUAUUGUAUGAGAUGCAACGCCAUGUGUUUACUACUUUUACUUCAUUGCUAACGGUUAGCUAUAGUAGUAGUAGUAGUAGUAGUUGGCGUGAUGACUUCACGGAGACACGAUGAUGGAGUUCAUGGUGUCACGCCGGUGACAAUGAUGAUCAUGCGAUGCCCGAAGAUGGAGAUCGAAAGAGAAAAGAUGAUAAUGGUUAUAUCAUGUCAUUAUAUGAUUGCAUGUGAUGUUUAUCAUGUUUUUCAUCUUAUUGCUUAGAACGACGGUAGCAUAAUAAGAUGAUCCCUCAUAAAUUUUUUGAGAACGUAUUCCCCUAAGUGUGCACCGUUGCAAAGGAUCGUUGUCUCGAAGCACCACGUGAUGAUCGGGUGUGAUAGAUUCUAACAUUCGCGUACAACGGGUGUAAGCCAGAUUUACACACGCGAAACACUUAGGUUGACUCGACGAGAUUAGCAUGUACAGACAUGACCUCGAAUACAAGAGACCGAAAGGUCAAACAUGAGUCGUAUGGUUGAAUACGAUCAGCAUGAAGUUGCUCACCAUGACGACUAGUCAGUCUCACGUGAUGAUCGGACAUGGGUUAGUCGACAUGGAUCAUGUAUCACUUAAAUGACUAGAUGGAUGUCGAUUUAAGUGGGAAUUCAUCAGAUGGACUUAAUUAUCAUGAACAUAGUCAAAUAGGUCUUUGCAAAUUAUGUAACUUGCGCUAUAGCUCUACGGUAUUUGAUAUGUUCCUAGAGAAAUCUUAGUUGAAAGAUAGAAGUAGCAAUUGCGCGGACUGGGUCCGUUGACUCAGGAUUGUCCACAUUGCUAUGCAGAAGGCUUAUGUCUUUAAUGCACCGCUCAGUGUGCUAAACCCCAAGCAUGGUCUGUAGAUGUUGCGAACAUCCGACAUACAUAUUUUUGAUAACUACAUGAUAGUUCAGUGCGUGUUGCUUGAACAACUUAGAAUUAAGGCAUUAAAGACGUUUCAAAUGUCGCGGGACAUACGUGAUGAUCCAAGAGAUGAAAUUGGGAUUUCAUGCUCGUGCCCUUGUUGAGAGGUAUGAGACCUCCGACGAGAUUCUUUGCUUGCAAAGUAAAGGAUAAGAGCUCAAUCGUAGAGCAUAUGCUCAGAUUGUCUGAGUACUACAAUCGCUUGAAUCGAGUGGGAGUUGAACUUCCACAUGAGACAGUGAUAGUUCUCCACAGUCACUGACACCAAGCUACUAGAGCUUGGUGAUGAACUAUAACAUAUCAAGGAUGGAUAUGAUGAUCCUUGAGCCAUUCGUGAUGUUUGACAUCACGAAAGUAGAAGUCAAAAGGGAACAUCAAUUGUUGAUGGUUUGUAAAACCACUAGUUUCAAGAAGGGAAAGGGCUUGAAGGGAUAUUACAUUAAACGACAAACCAGUUGUUGCUCUAUUACGAUAUCCAAGGUUGAACCCAAACCCGAGACUAAGUGCUUAUGAAAUAAGGGGAACAGUCACCAAAGAGGAACUGCACUAGACACUUGGUAGAUGAGAAGGCUGGCAAAGUCGACAGAAGUAUAUUGGAUAUACAUGAUAUUGAUGUGUACUUUAUUAGUACUCCUAGAAGCACCAGGGUAUUAGAUACCGGUUCGGUUGCUAAGUGUUAGUAACUCGAAAUAAAAGCUACGGUAUAAACAGAGACUAGUUAAAGGCGAGGUGACGAUGUGUGUGUUUCCAAGGUUGAUAUGAUCACAUAUCGCACGCUCCCUCUACCAUCGAGAAUAGUGUUAAACCUAAAUAAUUUUUAUUUGGUGUUUGCGUUGAGCAUAGACAUGAUUGGAUUAUGUUAAUGGCAAAUACAAUUAUUCAUCUAAAGAGAAUAAUGGUUAUUCUGUUUACUUGAAUCAUACCUUAAAUGGUCUUACACCUAGAAUGAAUGGUUAAUUGAAUCUCGAUCGUAGUGAUACACAUGUUCAUAAUAUUGUUACUAAAAGAUACAAAAUAGUAGUGAUAGUACCACUUACUUGUGGCACUGCUACUUGAGUCAUAUUGAUAUAAAAUGCAUGAAGAAGCUCCAUGCGGAUGGAUCGUUUGACUCACUUGAUUUUUGAAUCACACGAGACAUGCAAAUCAAACCACAUGGGCAAGAUGACUGAAGACCUCUUUUUCAGUGAGAUGGAACAAGAAUGUAACUUGUUGGAAGUAAUACAUUUUGAUGUCUGCACUCCGAUGAGUACUGAGGCAUGCAGUGGAUAUCAUUGUGUUCAUACUUCACAAAUGAUUUGAGUAGAUACCAGUGUAUUUACUUGAUAACACAGAAAUCUGAAUCAUUGAAAGGUUCAAGUAAUUUCAGAGUAAAGUUGAAGAUCAUCGUGACAAAAGGAUAAUAUGUCUACGAUGUGAUAGUGGAGGUAAACAUAUAUAUCCGAGUUACGAGUUUGAUAAACAUUUAAGACAAUGUGAAAAUAGUUUCACGUGAAAAAUGUUUCACAACUCAUGCCACCUGGAACACCAUAGUCUCAUGGUGUGUCUGUAUGUCAUAGUCGUGCCCUAUUAGAUAUAGUGCAUACUAUGAUAUUUAUUAUCAAAUUACCAAUAUCGUUUAUGGAUUAGGCAUUAGAGACAACCGCAUUCACUUUAAAUAGGUGGUACGCCCAUUUUGCAUCAUUCUUUCAUUGCUUUCUGGGCUGUUAUAUUACUUGUGGUACCAUAUUUAUUGCUUUUUGGGCUGUUAUAUUACUUGUGGUACCAUAUUUAUGCCUUUUCUCUCUUAUUUUGCAAGGAUUAUUUGAAGAGGGAGAAUUCAGACAGCUGGAAUUCUGGACUGGAAAAGGAGCAAACCCUAGUCCACUAUUCUGCACAUCUCCAAAUGCCCUGAAAAUUUACGUGGAUUUUUUCUGGAAUAUAUUAAAAAUACUGAGCGAAAGAACUACCGGAGGGGGGCCACCAGGGCCCCACAAGCCCCCACUCUGCCACCACCCCCUGGUGGCGGUGGGCAAGCUUGUGGGCUGCCUGAAGGCCCACUAGCCCCCCUCUUUUGCUAUAUGAAGCGUCCUGGUCUAGAAAAAAAAUCAUAAGGGAGCUUUUUCGUGGUUUCGCCGCCGCCACGAGGUGGAACUUGAGCAGAUACAAUCUAGAGCUCCGGGAGGAUGAUCCUGCCGGGGAAACUUCCCUCCUGGAUGGGGAAAUCGUCGCCAUCGUCAUCACCAACACUCCUCUCGUCGGAGGGGAGGCAUCUGCAUCAACAUCUUCAUCAGCACCAUCUCCUCUCCAAUCCCUAGUUCAUCUCUUGUAACCAAUCUUCGUCUCGCAACUCCGAUUGGUACUUGUAAGGUUGCUAGUAGUGUUGAUUACUCUUUGUAGUUGAUGCUAGUUGGAUUAUUUGGUGGAAGAGUUUAUGUUCAGAUCCUUGAUGCUAUUCAUUACACCUCUGGUCAUCAUUAUGAUUAUGUCUUGUGAGUAGUUACUUUUGUUCCUGAGGACAUGGGAUAAGUCAUGCUGAUAAUAGUCAUGUGAAUUUGAUAUUCGUUCGGUAUUUUGAUAUGUUGUAUGUUGUUUUUCCUCUAGUGGUGUUAUGUGAACGUCGACUACAUAACACUUCACCAUAUUUGGGCCUACAGGAAGGAAUUGGGAAGUAGUAAGUAGAUGAUGGGUUGCUGGAGUGACAGAAGCUUAAACCCCAGUCUAUGUGUUGCUUCGUGAGGGGCUGAUUUGGAUCCACUAGUUUAAUGCUAUGGUUAGACUUUGUCUUAAUUCUACUUUUGUAGUUGCGGAUGCUUGCGAGAGAGGUUAAUCAUAAGUGGGAUGCUUCUCCAAGUAAGGGCAGUACCCAAGCGCCGGUCCACCCACAUAUCAAACUAUCAAAGUAAAGAACGCGAAUCAUAUGAACAUGAUGAAACUAGCAUGACAGAAAUUCCCGUGUGUCCUCGGGAGCGUUUGUCCUCCUAUAAGACUUUGUUCAGGCUUGUCCCUUGCUACAAAAGGGAUUGGGCCACUUGCUGACCCAUUGCUACUACUUGUUACUUAUUACUCUUUGCUUGCUACGUUUCACCUCGCUACACAAUCACUUGUUACCGCUACUUUCAGUGCUUGGAGUUAUUACCUUGCUGAAAUCCGUUUAUCAGAGCCUUCUGCUCCUCGUUGGGUUCGACACUCUUACUUAUCGAAAGGACUACGAUUGAUUCCCUAUACUUGUGGGUCAUCAAGACUCUUUUCUGGCGCCGUUGGCGGGGAGUGAAGCGCCUUUAGUAAGUGGAAAUUUGUAAGGAACAUUUUUAUACUGUGCUGAAAUUUAUUGUCACUUGUCACUAUGGAAACUCUUUCUUUGAGGAGUUUGUUCGGGGUAUAUUCACCACAAACGGAAGCACGAGGAGUUGCUCCUCAACCUGAGGUACCUACUGAAAAUAUAUUUUAUGAAAUUCCUUUGGGUAUGCUUGAGAAACUGCUGGCUAAUCCUUUUACAGGAGAUGGAUCUUCACAUCCAGACUUUCAUUUAAUCUAUGUAGAUGAAGUUUGUGGUUUAUUUAAUCUUGCAGGUUUGCCCGAGGAUGAGGUAAAGAAGAAAGUCUUUCCUUUAUCUUUGAAGGAUAAGGCGUUGACAUGGUAUAGGCUAUGUGAUGGUGCUGCAUCAUGGGGCUACAAACGGUUGAAAUUGGAGUUUCAUCAAAAGUUCUAUCCUAUGCAUUUAGUACAUCGUGAUCGAAACUUUAUUUAUAACUUUUCGCCUCGUGAUAGGGAAAGCAUAGCUCAAGCUUGGGGGAGGCUUAAAUCAAUGCUAUAUUCAUGCCCCAAUCAUGAGCUCUCGAGAGAAAUCAUCACUCAAAACUUUUAUGCUCGGCUUUCUCAUGAAGAUCGUACCAUGCUUGACACUUCUUGUGCCGGUUCUUUUAUGAAGAAGGAUAUUGAUCACAAGUGGAAUUUAUUGGAGAGAAUCAAACGCAACUCUGAAGAUUGGGAGCUAGAGGAAGGUAAGGAGUCAGGUAUGAAUUUCCAGUUUGAUUAAGUUAAAUCUUUUGUUGAGACAAACACUUCUAGAGACUUUAGCGCUAAGUGUGGACUUGACUCUGAGAUAGUAGCUUCUCUAUGUGAAUCUUUUGCUGCUCAUGUUGAUCUUCCCAAAGAGAAGUGGUUUAAAUAUCAUCCUCCUGUAGAAAGCAACAUAGCCAAAACCAAUCUAGUUGAGGAGAAAAUCAUAGCUUUUAGUGAUCCUGUUGUUCCUUGUGCUUACACUGAGAAACCACCAUACCCUGCUAGGAUAAAGGAUUAUUCUAAAGCUCCAACUGUGAUACAUAGGGGUUACAUUAGAUCACUUGCACCCCCUGAGGAGAUUAGAGUCGAACCUAGUGUUGCUAUUAUCAAAGAUCUCUUAGCCGAAGAUAUAGAUGGCAUGUUAUCAAAUUCUGUGAGGACUCCGCUAGAAUUGCUAAACCUCACGUGAAAGACAAACACUGAUUUGUAGUUGGCCUGCCCGUUGUUUCUGUUAAGAUAGGAGAUCACCGUUACCAUGGUUUAUGUGAUAUGGGAGCUAGUGUUAGUGCAAUAACCCGUUCUAUAUAUGAUGAAAUCAAAGAUGAGAUUGCACCUGCUGAGUUAGAACCCCAUUGAUGUCACUAUUACGCUAGCUAAUAGAGACACUAUCUGCCCUCUGGGAAUUGUGAGAGACGUAGAAGUCCUGUGUGGUAAGACGAAGUAUCCUACUGAUUUCCUCGUCCUUGGCACUGCACAAGAUAGCUUUUGUCCCAUCAUAUUUGGUAGACCCUUUCUCAACAUUGUCAAUGCUCACAUUGAUUGCAUUAAGCAGACUGUCACAGUAUGUUUCGAGGGUGUGUCUCAUGAAUUUAACUUCUCCAAGUUUGGAAGACAAACCCAUGAAAGAGAGUCGUCUGGUAGAGAUGAAAUCAUUGCUCUUGCCUCUAUUGCUGUACCUCCUACGGACCCUUUAGAGCAAUAUCUGCUUGAGCAUGAAAAUGAUAUGCAUAUGGAGGAGAGAAUGAGAUAGAUAGAAUUUUCUUAGAACAACAUCCUAUUCUCAAGAAUAAUCUGCGUGUUGAACUGCUUGGGGAUCCUCCCCCACCAAAGGGUGAUCCUGUGUUCGAGCUUAAACAGUUGCCUGAUACUCUUAAGUAUGCCUAUCUUGAUGAGAGGGAGAUAUAUCCUGUCAUUAUUAGUGCUCUCCUCUCAGAGCGCGAAGAGAAGAAGUUACUAAAAACCCUGAGGAAGCAUCGCGCUGCUAUUGGAUAUACUCUUGAUGAUCUUAAGGGUAUUAGUCCUACUCUAUGUCAGCACAAGAUUAAAACCGAUCCUCACUUUAAACCAAUUGAUGAUCACCAAAGGAGAUUAAAUCCUAAGAUGAAAGAGGUCGUUAGAAAAGAAAUAUUAAAGCUUCUGGAAGCAGGAAUCAUUUAUCCUGUUGCUCAUAGUGAUUGGGUAAGUCCAGUACAUUGCGUACCUAAGAAGGGAGGUAUCACCGUCGUUCCUAAUGAUAAGGAUGAACUAAUCCCACAAAGGAUUAUUACCGGCUAUAGAAUGGUGAUAGACUUCUGGAAACUGAACAAGGCAACCAGGAAAGAUCAUUAUCCUUUGCCGUUCAUCGACCAAAUGCUAGAAAGGCUAUCAAAACACACACACUUCUGCUUUCUAGACGGUUAUUCAGGUUUCUUGCAAAUACCUAUUGCACAAUCUGAUCAAGAGAAAACCACUUUCACAUGCCCUUUCGGUACCUUUGCCUAUAGACUUAUGCCUUUUGGCUUAUGUAAUGCACCUGCCACCUUCCAAAGAUGUAUGAUGGCUAUAUUCUCUGACUUUUGUGAGAAGAUUGUCGAGGUUAUCAUGGAUGACUUCUCCGUUUACGGGUCUUCCUUUGAUGAUUGCCUCAGCAACCUUGAUCGAGUCUUACAGAGAUGCGAAGAAACCAACCUUGUCUUGAAUUGGGAGAAGUGCCACUUUAUGGUUAAUGAAGGUAUCGUCUUAGGACACAAUAUCUCUGAAAGAGGCCUUGAAGUUGAUAAGGCUAAGGUUGAUGCAAUUGAGAAAAUGCCUUGCCCCACAGAUAUUAGAGGUAUACGAAGUUUCUUAGGUCAUGCUAGUUUCUAUAGAAGGUUCAUUAAAGACUUCUCUAAGAUUUCUAGGCCUCUUACCAACCUCUUGCAGAAGGAUGUUCCUUUUGUUUUUGAUGAGGAUUGUGAGGAAGCCUUUGAAAUACUUAAGAAGGCUUUGAUAACCGCACCUAUUGUUUAGCCACCUUACUGGAACUUGCCCUUUGAGAUCAUGUGUGACGCUAGUGAUUAUGUUGUUGGUGUUGUUCUAGGACAAAGAGUUGACAAGAAGUUGAAUGUCAUUCACUACGCUAGUAAAACUCUAGACAGUGCCCAAAGAAACUAUGCCACUACGGAAAAGGAAUUUUUAGCAGUCGUGUUUGCAUGUGAAAAGUUCAGAUCUUACAUAGUUGACUCCAAAGUCACUAUUCACUCUGAUCAUGCUACUAUUAAGUACCUUAUGCAGAAGAAGGACGCUAAGCCUAGGCUGAUCAGAUGGGUUCUCCUGCUACAAGAAUUUGAUUUGCACGUCAUUGACCGAAAGGGUGCUGAUAACCCUGUAGCAGAUAACUUGUCUAGGCUAGAGAAUGUCCUUGAUGACCCACUACCAAUUGAUGACAGCUUUCCUGAUGAGCAACUAAAUGUCAUCCACACUUCACUUAGUGCACCGUGGUAUGCCGAUUAUGCAAACUAUAUCGUAGCCAAAUACAUACCACCCAGUUUCACCUAUCAACGAAAGAAGAAAUUCUUCUUUGAUUUGAGACACUACUUUUGGGAUGAUCCUCACCUUUAUAAGGAAGGAGUAGAUGGUGUUAUUAGACGUUGUGUGCCUGAACAUGAACAGGGACACAUCCUGCAGAAGUGUCAUUCCGAAGCCUACGGAGGACACCAUGCUGGAGAUAGAACUGCCCAUAAGGUAUUGCAAUCAGGUUUCUAUUGGCCCACUCUCUUCAAGGAUGCUCGUAAGUUUGUAUUGUCUUAUGACGAAUGCCAAAGGAUAGGGAACAUCAGUAAGCGUCAAGAGAUGCCUAUGAACUAUUCACUUGUCAUUGAACCAUUUGAUGUCCAGGGCUUUGAUUAUAUGGGACCCUUCCCGAGUUCCAAUGGGUACACUCACAUCUUAGUUGUUGUGGAUUAUGUUACUAAGUGGGUAGAAGAUAUCCCCACUAAAAAUGCUGAUCACCACACCUCUAUUAAGAUGCUUAAAGAAGUCAUAUUCCCAAGAUUUGGAGUCCCUACAUACUUGAUGACUAAUGGCGGUUCACACUUCAUUCAUGGUGUUUUCCGUAAGAUGCUAGCUAAGUAUGAUGACAACCAUAGAGUUGCAUCUCCUUAUCAUCCUCGGUCCAGUGGUCAAGUUGAGUUGAGUAAUAGGGAGAUCAAGUUGAUCCUACAAAAGACCGUCAAUAGAUCUUGAAAGAACUGGUCUAGCAAACUUGACGAUGCACUAUGGGCUUAUAGGACUACUUAUAAGAAUCCCAUGGGCAUGUCAUUGUAUAAAAUGGUUUACGGUAAGGCCUGUCAUUUACCUCUUGAGCUGGAACACAAAGCUUAUUGGGCAAUCAAAGAGCUCAACUUUGAUUUCAAACUUGCCGGUGAGAAGCGGUUGUGUGAUAUCAGCUCGUUAGAUGAAUGGAGAUCCCAGGCAUAUGAAAAUGCCAGGUUGUUCAAGGAAAAGUUUAAGAGAUGGCACGACAAACGAAUACAGAAACGAGAGUUCAAUGUAGGUGAUUAUGACUUGCUAUACAAUUAUCGUUUGAGAUUCUUUGCAGGCAAGCUUCUCUCUAAAUGGGAAGGUCCCUAUGUUGUCGAGGAAGUAUAUCGUUCUGGUGCCAUCAAAAUCAAUAACACAGAAGGAAAUUUUCCUAGAGUGGUAAAUGGGCAAAGAAUCAAGCAUUACAUCUCUGGUACUCCCAUAAAUGUUGAGACCAAUAUCAUCAAUGUCAUAACUCUAGAGGAGUACAUAAGGGAUGUUUAUCAGCCUGCUUCAGACCUUGAAAAGGAAGAUGUAUAUGUUUGGGCAAGAAAUUGGACUCCGGUACUUUUCCAAUAGGAAAUUUCCUCAGUUUUGGAAUUUUUGGAAAAUUAGAAAAAUAAAAAGCAGUCCGGAGAGCAAACGAGGUAGCCACAAGGGCCCACUCCGCCACCACCCCCCUGGUGGCGGUGGGCAAGCUUGUGGGCACCUCGUGUGCCUCCUGGACUCCGUUUUCUUGCGGAGGACUCCUUCUGGCCCAGAAAAAAUCAAUAUAUAGUCGCCCGAAGGUUUUGAUCUCCGUAUCGUGCAGUUUUGCUCUGUUUUCGUUUCGAGCUUGUUCUACCGCAGAUUUAGGUCAAGAUGUCUUCCCAAGAUUCAAAGGGAGAGAGCUUCGUGGCUGACUACCAUGCUAACCCCAAGGUCUAUGGGGACUUGGAACCAUAUGGCUGGACCACUGAUGAGGAAGAGGACUAUGAGCCCAAAGGGAAGGAGCAAACGAGUCCCGAUGAAGAGGAGGCUCCUCUACCUCAACCUGCAAACACCCAUGUGGAGUUCAAGAAGUCAAGCCUCCCUGACCAUAGGAAGAAGCCUAAGACCUUGUUUAUCCCUUCUCGUUUCAUGCAGGAGAGUAAGCAGGAGCUUUGCCAUAGAGUUUUGAAACUUGAGAAGGAAAAUAACGAUCUAAGGGAGCAAAACAUUUUGCUCAAGUGGAAAUUAGACAAGCUCAAGACUACUCCAACAACACCACCAUCACCGCCAAAGGAAGACAACUAAACAUUGGUAUGGGAAAUCCCCUUGGCUUCUGCCAAGCUUGGGGGAGUUGCCCUGGUAUCGCAUCACCUUUAUAUCUUUUGCUUUUACCUUUGUUUUAGUUCUUCCCUUUUCUGUUUUUAUUUCUUCUUUUAGAGGAAUAAGUCUUUAGUUUUUAGUUUGAGUCUUUUGCUUUUGUCUCUCCCCUGAUGUAUUCGAGCUUACGAGCUAUAUAAUAAAGAGUGUCUUAGUCAAGGGCUUUGCUUUGUGCCAUGAUCAAAAAGUAUGAAAAGAACGAUAGCAUGAAAGAUCAUGAGACGAUCUUAUGGAAAGGGAUAACUUCACUUAUGACACGUAUGAUGAUUGAAACUUGUUGAGAAUAAAUCAACAUAGACCUCAGUCAUUGUUGCAAUUAAUAAGAAGUAAUAAGAAAAGAUAGGUUCACAUAUAAAUAUAUCAUCUUAGACAUUUUUUACAAUUGUGAGCACUCACCAAACUAUUACAUGCCUAGGAGUAGAUGUUGGACAAGGAAGACAACAUAAUGAAUUGUGUUUGCUUGGUUCCAAACAAUGUUAUAUGAUUAGAGAUCCCUUAGCAUGUGACGAUUGCUUCCACCUCAUAUUAGCCAAAACUCCCGCACCAAGUAGAGAUACUACUUGUGCAUCCAUAAACCUUCAACCCAUUUUUGCCAUGAGAGUCCACCAUACCUACCUAUGGAUUGAAUAAGAUCCUUCAAGUAAGUUGCCAUCGGUGCAAGCAAUAAAAAUUGCUCCCUAAUAUGUAUGAUCUAUUAGUGUGUGGAAAAUAAGCUUUGUACGAACCUGUGAUGAGGAAGACAUAAAAGAGACAGACUGCAUAAUAAAGUUCUUUGUCACAGGAGGCAAUAUAAAGUGACGUUCCUCCGCACUAAGAGGACACGCAUUCAAACCUCAAAAGCGCAUGACAAGCUCUGCUUCCCUCUGCGAAGGGCCUAUCUUGUACCUUUACUUUUUACCUUUGUAAGAGUCAUGGUGAUCAUCACCAAUUCCCUUUUUGCCUUUGUCUUGGCUACCGUCACAUGCUUGGGAAAGAUCUAUAUUCAUAUAUCAACUUGGACUCGAGUACUUAUGCUUUAUUGUUGUUGACUUUACCCUUGAGGUAAAUGGUUGGGAGGCAAAACUAUAAGCCCCUAUCUUCCUCUAUGUCCAGCUGAAACUUUGACACCAUGAGUACCACGUGGGCUGUAACAAUUGUGGAAAACAAAAGAGAUGAGUGAGUAUGUGGGUUUGCCUUACAAGCUCUUAUUUGACUCUUUCUGAUGUUGUGAUAAAUUGCAAUGGCUUCAAUGACUAUGGACUAUUGUUGGUUACUUCUCGGUAAGGUUUUUGCUUCAUGCUUUGCUUUGUGAAGGAAUUGGUGCUUUCCCAUAAGAAUCUUUAUGAUGUAUUGCUGUUCUAUGUGUGAUGAUGAUGCCCUCAUGUCCGUAUUACGUUUUAUCGACACCUUCGUCCCUCAAUAUGUGGACAUGUUUAUGGAACUUGGUUUUUGCUUGAGGACAAGCGAGGUCUAAGCUUGGGGGAGUUGAUACGUCCAUUUUGCAUCAUGCUUUCAUGUUGAUAUUUAUUGCUUUUUGAGCUGUUAUAUUACUUGUGGUACCAUAUUUAUUCCUUUUCUCUCUUAUUUUGCAAGGAUUAUUUGAAGAGGGAGAAUUCUGGACUGGAAAAGGAGCAAAUCCUAGUCCACUAUUCUGCACAUCUCCAAAUGCCCUGAAAAUUUACGUGGAUUUCUUAUGGAAUAUAUUAAAAAUACUGGGCGGAAGAACUACCGGAGGGGGGCCACCAGGGCCCCACAAGCCCCCACUCUUCCACCACCCCCUGGUGGCGAUGGGCAAGCUUGUGGGCUGCCUGAAGGCCCACUAGCCCCGCUCUUUUUCUAUAUGAAGCGUCCUGGUCUGGAAAAAAUCAUAAGGGAGCUUUUUCGUGGUUUCGCCGCCGCCACGAGGCGGAACUUGAGCAGAUCCAAUCUAGAGCUCCGGUAGGACGAUCCUGCCGGGGAAACUUCCCUCCCGGAGGGGGAAUUCGUCGCCAUCGUCAUCACCAACACUCCUGUCGUCGGAGGGGAGGCAUCUUCAUCAACAUCUUCAUCAGCACCAUCUGCUCUCCAAUCCCUAGUUCAUCUUUUGUAACCAAUCUUCGUCUCGCAACUCCAAUUGGUACUUGUAAGGUUGCUAGUAGUGUUGAUUACUCUUUGUAGUUGAUGCUAGUUGGAUUAUUUGGUGGAAGAGUUUACGUUCAGACCCUUGAUUCUAUUCAUUACACCUCUGGUCAUGAUUAUUAUUAUGUCUUGUGAGUAGUUACUUUUGUUCGUGAGGACAUGGGAUAAGUCAUGCUGAUAAUAGUCAUGUGAAUUUGAUAUUCGUUCGGUAUUUUGAUAUGUUGUAUGUUGUUUUUCCUCUAGUGGUGUUAUGUGAACGUCGACUACAUAACACUUCACCAUAUUUGGGCCUAGAGGAAGGCAUUGGGAACUAGUAAGUAGAUUAUGGGUUGCUGGAGUGACAGAAGCUUAAACCCCAGUCUAUGCGUUGCUUCGUGAGGGGCUGAUUUGGAUCCACUAGUUUAAUGCUAUGGUUAGACUUUGUAUUAAUUCUUCUUUUGUAGUUGCGGAUGCUUGCGAGAGAGGUUAAUCAUAAGUGGGAUGCUUGUCCAAGUAAGGGCAAUACCCAAGUGCCGGUCCACCCACAUAUCAAACUAUCAAAGUAACGAACGUGAAUCAUAUGAACAUGAUGAAACUAGCAUGACAGAAAUUCCCGUGUGUCCUCGGGAGGGUUUUUCCUCCUAUAAGACUUUGUUCAGGCUUGUCCCUUGCUACAAAAGUGAUUGGGCCACUUGCUGCACCAUUUCUACUACUUGUUACUUGUUACUCUUUGCUUGCUACGUUUCACCUCGCUACACAAUCACUUGUUACCGCUACUUUCAGUGCUUGCAGUUAUUACCUUGCUGAAAUCCGUUUAUCAGAGCCUUCUGCUCCUCGUUGGGUUCGACACUCUUACUUAUCGAAAGGACUACGAUUGAUCCCCUAUACUUGUGGGUCAUCAAUAGGGCACCACGUAAUUCCAUUGAGAUGACACCGUAUGACCUAUGCUUUAGAGAAACCUAAGCUGUCAUAUUUAAAAGUUUGGGGUUGCGAUGCUGAUGUGAAAGAGUUUAAGGCUGAUAAGCUCGAACCCAAAGCGGAUAAAUGCAUCUUCAUAGGACACCCAAAUCAGUUGGGUAUACCUCCUAUCUGAGAUACAGAAGCAAAUAUGUUUGUUUCUAUAAAUGGGUCCUUUCUCGAGGAAAAGUUUCUCUCGAAAGAAUUGAGUGGGAGUUUUGGUGGAAACUUGAUGAGGUUAUGUGAACCAUCACUUCAACCAGUGUGUGUGGCAGGGCGGAGGAAGUUGUUAUUGUGGCACCUACACCAAUUGAAGUGGAAGCUAAUGAUAAUGAUCGUGAGACUUCAGAUCAAGUUUCUAGAAACCUCGUAGGUCGACAAGGUCACGUACUGCUGCUACAGAAUGGUAUAGUGACCCUAUCUUGAAGGUCAUGUUGUUGGAGAACAAUGAACCUACGAGCUAUGGAGAAGCGGUGGUGGGCUCGGAUUCCGACAAAUGGCUGGAGGCCAUGAAAUCCGAGAGAGGAUCCAUGUAGGAAAAACAAAGUAUAGACUUUGGAAGAACCACUUAAUGUUCAUAAGACUAUUAACUGUGAAUGGAUCUUUAAAAGGAAGACAGACGAUGAUGGUGAAAAGUCAGCAUUAAGAAAGCUUGACUUGUCGCAAAAGUGUUUUCAACAAAGUUCAAAGAGUUGACUACGAUGAGACUUUCUCACUCGUAUCGAUGCUGAAACUCGGUUGAAAUUAUGUUAGCAGUUGUUGCAUCAUUUUUGAAAUAUUGCAAAUAGGAUGUCAAAAUAUUGUUUCCUCGAUGGUUUCCUUGAGGAAAGGUUGUAUGUGAUACAACCAGAAGAUUUUAUCGAUCCUAAAGGGUGCUAACAAGUAUGCAAAGCUCGAGCGAUCCUUCUAUGGACUGGAGCAAGCAUCUCAGAGUUGGAAUAUACACUUUGAUGAGAUGAUCAAAGUUUUUGGUUCUAUACAAAGUUUAUGGGAAACUUGUAUUUCCAAAAGGUGAGUAGAACUAUAGAAUUUCUGAUGAAUGUGGUUGACAUACUGUUGAUCAAAAAAAUGUAGAAUUUAUGUAAAGCAUAAAGGGUUGUUUGAAAAUAGUUUUUCAAAGAAAACCUAGAUGUAGCUACUUGAGGGUUGAGCAUCAAGAUCUAUAAAGAUAGAUCAAAGUGCUUAAUGGAACUUUCAACGAAAUGCAUGCCUUGACAUGGUUUUGAAGGAGUUCAAAAUAGAUCAGCAAAGAAGGAGUUAUUGGCUAUGUUGUAAGGUGUAAAUUUUCAGUACGACUCGAAGCCCGACCACGGGAGAAAAAAGAGAAAGGAUGAAUGUCGUUCCCUAUGCAUCAGCCGUACGCUCUACAAGUAUGAUGUGUUGUGUACUGCACCUAAAGCGUGCCUUGCAAUGAGUCAGUCGUGGGGUACAAGAGUGAUCCAGGAAUGGAUCGCUGGGCAGCGUUCAAAGUUAUCCUUAGUAACUAAUGAACUAAGGAAUUUUUCUCAAUUUUGGAGGUGAUUGAAGAGUUCGUCGUAAACGAGUUACGUUGAUGCAAGCUUUGUCACUAAUCCGGAGUAGUAAACCGGAUUCGUAUAGUGGCGCAAUCAUUUGGAAUAGUUCCACAUGGGGCGUAGUAGCAUCUAUAGGAUGACGUAGAGAUUUGUAAAGCACACACGGAUCUGAAAGGUUCAGACCCGUUGACUAUAAACCUCUCUCACAAGCAAGACAUGAUCGAACCCUAGAACUGUAUGGGUGUUGAAUUCAUUGCAAUCACAUAGUGAUGUGAACUAGAUUAUUGACUCUAGUGCAAGUGGGAGACUGUUGGAAAUAUGCCCUAGAGGCAAUAAUAAACUGGUUAUUAUCAUAUUUCCUUGUUCAUGAUAAUCGUCUAUUGUUCAUGUUAUAAUUGUAUUAACAGGAAACAGUAAUACAUGUGUGAAUAAAUAGAUCACAAUGUGUCCCUAGCAAGCCUCUAGUUGGCUAGCUCGUUGAUCGAUAGGUGAUCAUGGUUUCCUGAUCAUGGACAUUGGAUGUCAUUGAUAACGGGAUCACAUCAUUAGGAGAAUGAUGUGAUGGACACGACCCAAUCAUAAGCAUAGCACUAGAUCGUGUUGUUCGUAUGCUAAAGCUUUUCUAAUGUCAAGUGUCUUUUCCUUCGACCGUAAGAUUGUGCAACUCCCGGAUACCGUAGGAGUGCUUUGGGUGUAUCAAACGUCACAACGUAACUGGGUGACUAUAAAGGUGCACUACGGGCAUCUCCGAAAGUGUUUGUUGGGUUGGUACGAAUCGAGAUCGGGAUUUGUCACUUUGUGUGACGGAGAGGUAUCUCUGGGCCUACUCGGUAGAACAUCAUCAUGAGCUCAAUGUGACUAAGGAGUUAGUCAUAGGAUGACGUGCUACGAAACGAGUAAAGAGACUUACCGGUAACGAGAUUGAACAAGGUAUAGGUAUACCGACGCUCGAAUCUCGGGCAAGUUCUAUACCGACAGACAAAGGGAAUUGUAUACGGGAUUGAUUGAAUCCUUGACAUCGUGGUUCAUCCGAUGAGAUCAUCGUGGAACAUGUGGGAGCCACCAUGGGUAUCCAGAUCCCGCUGAUGGUUAUUGGCCGGAGAGUGUCUGGGUCAUGUCUGCAUGCCUCCCGAACCCAUAGGGUCUACACACUUAAGGUUCGAUGACGCUAGGGUUAUAGGGAAUUGUUAUACAAGGUUGCCGAAGGUUGUUCGGAGUCCCGGAUGAGAUCCCAGAUGUCACAAGGAGCUCGGAAUGGUCUGGAGGUAAAGAUUGAUAUAUAGGAUGGAUGGGUUUGAUCGCCGGAAUUGUUUCGCGCGACACCGGUAAUAUACCGGGACCACCGAAAGGGUUUCGGGGGUACACCGGGAGGGGCCACCAGCCCAAAAGGUGGAAGGUAACCAACCCAGAUUGGGCUGGUGCGCCUCCCACCUAGGCCCAAGGCGCCACAAGAGAGGGAAGGGGGGGGGAGAAACCCUAGUGCAGAUGGGCCUAAGGCCCAUCUGUGGGCGCCACCCCCCUCUCCCUUGCCCUGGCCGCCACAACCAGCCCCAUCUAGGGCUGCCGCCCCCCUUUAGGGUGGGAAACCCUAAAGGGGGCGCCACCCUCCCUUCCCCCUACACUAUAGCGGGGGGUUUUGGACUUUGAGAACACGAUUUUCCAUCUCUCUCGGUGCAGCCCUAUCUCUCUUCUUCCUCCUCUCCCACGGUACUUCACAAACCCCUGCUGGGAGACCUCGUCUCUCCAUCGACACCACGCCGUCGUGCUGCCGGAGAUCUUCCCCAACCUCUCCCUCCUCCUUGUUGGAUCAAGGUGCAGGAGACGUCACCGGGCUUCACAUGUGUUGAACGCGGAGGUGCCGUGAUUCGGCACAAGAUCGGAAUCACACCGCGAUCUGAAUCGCCGCGAGUACGACUCCAUCAACCGCGUUCUUGUUGGAGUUAUGCCCUAGAGGCAAUAAUAAAUAUAGUUAUUAUUAUAAUUCCUGUAUCAAGAGAAUCGUUUAUUAUCCAUGCUAUAAUUGUAUUGAAUAAAGACUUAUAUACAUGUGUGGAUACAUAGACAAAACAUUGUCCCUAGCAAGCCUCUAGUUGGCUAGCCAGUUGAUCAACGAUAGUCAGUGUCUUCUGAUUAUGAACAAGGUGUUGUUGCUUGAUAACUGGAUCACGUCAUUAGGAGAAUCACGUGAUGGCCUAGACCCAAACUAAUAGACGUAGCAUGUUGAUCGUGUCAUUUUAUUGCUACUGUUUUCUGCGUGUCAAGUAUUUAUUCCUAUGACCAUGAGAUCAUAUAACUCACUGACACCGGAGGAAUGCCUUGUGUGUAUCAAACGUCGCAACGUAACUGGGUGACUAUAAAGAUGCUCUACAGGUAUCUCCGAAGGUGUUAGUUGAGUUAGUAUGGAUCAAGACUGGGAUUUGUCACUCCGUAUGACGGAGAGGUAUCUCGGGGCCCACUCGGUAAUACAACAUCACACACAAGCCUUGCAAGCAAUGUAACUUAGUGUAAGUUGCGGGAUCUUGUAUUACGGAACGAGUAAAGAGACUUGCCGGUAAACGAGGUUGAAAUAGGUAUACGGAUACUGACGAUCGAAUCUCGGGCAAGUAACAUACCGAAGGACAAAGGGAAUGACAUACGGGAUUAUAUGAAUCCUUGGCACUGAGGUUCAAACGAUAAGAUCUUCGUAGAAUAUGUAGGAUCCAAUAUGGGCAUCCAGGUCCCGCUAUUGGAUAUUGACCGAGGAGUCUCUCGGGUCAUGUCUACAUAGUUCUCGAACCCGCAGGGUCUGCACACUUAAGGUUCGACGUUGUUUUAUGCGUAUUUGAGUUAUAUGGUUGUUUUAUGUUGUUCGGAGUCCCGGAUGAGAUCACGGACGUCACGAGGGUUUCCGGAAUGGUCCGGAAAUGAAGAUUAAUAUAUAGGAUGACCUCAUUUGAUUACCGGAAGGUUUUCGGAGUUACCGGGAAUGUACCAGGAAUGACGAAUGGGUUUCGGGAGUUCACCGUGGGGGGGGGGGCAACCCACCCCGGGGAAGCCCAUAGGCAUUGGGGGUGCCGCACCAGCCCUUAGUGGGCUGGUGGGACAGCCCAAAAGAGCCCUAUGCGCAUUGGAAGAAAAAUCAAAGAGAAAAGGAAAAAAAAAGGAGGAGGUGGGAAAGGGAAGAAGGACUCCACCUUCCAAACCAAGUAGGACUCGGUUUGGGGGGGAGACCUUCCCCCUUGGCUCGGCCGAACCCCUUGGGGGUCCUUGGACCCCAAGGCAAGGCUCCCCCUCUCCCUCCUAUAUAUAGCGGGGUUUUAGGGCUGAUUUUAGACAACUUUUGCCACGGCAGCCCGACCACAUAUCUCCACGGUUUUACCUCUAGAUCGCGUUUCUACGGAGCUCGGGCGGAGCCCUGCUGAGACGAGAUCAUCACCAACCUCCGGAGCGCCGUCACGCUGCCGGAGAACUCUUCUACCUCUCCGUCUCUCUUGCUGGAUCAAGAAGGCCGAGAUCAUCAUCGAGCUGUACGUGUGCUGAACGCGGAGGUGCCGUCCGUUCGACACUAGAUCGUGGGACUGAUCGCGGGAUAGUUCGCGGGGCGGAUCGAGGGAGAUGAGGACGUUCCACUACAUCAACCGCGUUCACUAACGCUUCUGCUGUAUGGUCUACAAGGGUACGUAGAUCACACAUCCCCUCUCGUAGAUGGACAUCACCAUGAUAGGUCUUCGUGCGCGUAGGAAAUUUUUUGUUUCCCAUGCAAUGUUCCCCAACAGUUCUAGCAACGCUUCAGCUUAGCGAUCUUCAAAGGUAUCAAGAUGCACUCUCCCCUCUCUCGUUGCUGGUCUCUCCAUAGGAAGAUCUGAAUAUGGCGUUGGAAAAUUUUGAAUUUAUGCUACGUUCACCAACACGAGGAAGCGGGAGUGAUUUUUGCGGGAUCCGAGGAAUGUGUGGUGUCAGCAGCAGAGGCGCGUGGGUUGGGCGAAGCAACCUAGGCUUCGGCGCGUGGAGUAGGCGAAGUGGGCGAAGGGGGCGCAGUCGCCGAGGCGAAACUAUCGGGGUGUGACCGUUGCGAGCGAUUGGAGGAAGAGCGCGAGGCUGGUAGGCGCAUAGUGGCCGGUGUGGACCCGGGGGUUGGUGAAUUGUUAGGUGGCGAUGCGGAAGGUGGGGUGGGGGCCCAGGAUUGGGAUCCGGACCAGCAGGGAGGAGGGGCUCUUUUGCAUGGGGAUUUUCUGUGGCCGUAUGGGUUGUGUGGCCGGGGCUGGGGCGUGUGUAGGGAAAAAAUAAAUCGUCAAAGACACCAUGGCGUGAAACAAGGACGCGACAGUUUUCGAAAUCGUAGCAGCAGUAGCCUUUGUGCUCUAAUGGGUAUCCAAGAAAGACACAUCUAGUGGAGCGAGGAGAUAGUUUGUUGGUCAUGGUGGCGUAGAGGUUGGGGAAACACAGACAACCAAAAACCCGAAGAUGGUCGUACUGAGGGUGUUCACCAUGAAGGAGAUAGUAGGGGGUGAGAGGCAUGGUGGCGCGCGAGGGACGACGAUUGAGAAGAUAAGUGGUGGUGUGUAGGGCUUCGACCCAAAAGGGAGGAGUGAGGUUGGCUUGGAGAAGAAGCGUGCGAACGAUGUCGUUCAUGGUUCGAAUGAGGCAUUCAGAUUUUCCAUUUUGAGGCGAGGUGUGAGGGCAUGAGAACUGGUAGGCAAUGCCAUUGGACGAAAAGAAGGAUCGUAAGGAGUGGUUAAUGAAUUCGCCCUANNNNNNNNNNNNNNNNNNNNNNNNNNNNNNNNNNNNNNNNNNNNNNNNNNNNNNNNNNNNNNNNNNNNNNNNNNNNNNNNNNNNNNNNNNNNNNNNNNNNGCACACCCAACCAACCCAAGAAGAGGUGAAGACUGAAGAACUGUCAGCCGGCUUUAGCACACGGUGGGAGAUGUCAUGGGAACCACCAUGACAUUUCAAUCAGAUCCAUACAGUGCCUUCGUGUCUGCCCACCAUAUGAUGCACAUUCGCUUUGCCAACGCCUCAAGUAAUCAUUGAGAGAGAGACAUGAACGCAUAUCUUAAUUACCAGAUCCAUAUAUAUAUAUAUAUAUAUAUAAUAUAUAUAUAUAUAUAAACCAGCACUGGUGCUUAUUAUUAGUCGCCCUUGUUUUACACUUGGUACGGUCUCCUAUAUAUAGUUCUACUAUAUAGCGGCACAUGAAUCACAGAAACGGAGCGUAGGGAGGAGCAAAAAAAAGAAGAUGAGGAAUUACAGUGGUGAAUAAAUAAAUAAAAUUGAAAAUUACUGCAGUGCACAUGAAGCCAGCCAGUGUAGUCACUGCCUUCGGAGUGUGAAAGACAGCGCAUUUACCGGCAGAUCUACCUCGCAUUCUCACCGUCGUCCUCCUCACCACAGCAGGAGCCCAGAGAGCGCGAGCAGCAGCAGUGUAGUCGCCGCGGAGGACGACGAGACGGCCGGCGACGAGCUCUUGGCCGUGUGCUGGGGCGGCGGGCUAUAGUAGUAGAAGGGGAAGUAGGGCAGGAACGGGUUGGGCGGCGGCGGCGUCGGGUACGSSACCGGCCUCCGGCCUCCACCUUGUCCUCCUUGGCCGCCGCCGCCGCCUCCUCCGUACCCGCCGGU